This 54229-nucleotide long non-coding RNA is filed under the name Sorghum bicolor (sorghum). Its description in RNAcentral is "long non-coding RNA (SBIC_LNC010732)". Lineage: Eukaryota; Viridiplantae; Streptophyta; Magnoliopsida; Poales; Poaceae. The record is from RNAcentral.
CGCUAAGUUUCCUAAAGGGAAUAUUGAAGAACCUCUGCGUCCGAGUUGGUACCUUGUACGCCCCAGUAGACUUCGUGGUGAUGGAGACUGGUACUGAUGAGAGGGCACCCAUCAUCCUAUGGAGGCCAUUCCUGAACACCUCGGGAGCUGUCAUCUACGCUAGUGCUGCCAAGAUCAAUUUCUACAUCAAGGCAAGGAUGGAGACGUUUUCCUUCAAGAACAAGACUGCACAAAUCUCAGAGCAAUCCCGACAUGAACCAAGGAAGAGGACCAACAGGAGGAACAGGAACAAGCAAGUGUGGACCGAGUCAGCUAAGAUGGUCACUACAGUUCAAGGAGGUCAAGAUCAUCUAUUUAAGUCACCGUUCGUGACCAAAAAGGACAACCCAAGCGUGCCAAGCAUCCAGUGCUCCAUUAAUGGAUACAACUUCGAGAAGAUGCUUUGCAACACCGAGUCAGGCGUCAACAUAAUGGCCGCAGUCACCUAUCAACUCCUGUUCGGAACCAUGCUCCUAAAAUCGAUAUACAUUCAGCUCCAGAUGGCAGAUCAGACAUUCCGAAAGGUUGAAGGUUAUUGACAUGAGAGAAGACGAAUUUGAUCUACCCAUCAUCCUUGGAAGACCGUUCAUCAGCACCGUUAAAGCAAUCAUCUACAUUGGAACUAGAGAAGUCCACAUGCACUUCACCUCUGAGAAGGUACGUCGCUGUUUUACUCACCCUAACUAUAUAGUUGAAGACUUUAAGCAGGUCAGGACAAGAAGGAGACGACACAACCGCAACCAGAGGAGGCAAAUCAUCAAGGACGGAUGGGCAGACUAUGAAGGAGAAGUAGUAAGGUCUGAAGACAUACAGCUUGAACAGAACUGUCCUGAGGAGACCGUAGCACCGAGUCAAGUGUGGAGAAAGAAGAUAGUUAUACAUGAAGAGAAGACAUCGUCGGAAUCACCGACUACGCCACCCAGCGAAUCCCAGGACGACUGAGAAAGCAGAGAGUCCCGUUCGGAGGACUUAAAAACACCGAACGUCUUGCUAAGAGGUAAAAUUGGUAGUUAUCUUUUUCCUUUCAAUUAUUUAAAAUAGUUUGCUUAGUUAAUCAGGUUCAUAUCAUCUUGAAAAGAAAAUAAAAAUGUUAAAAAUAUUAAGCCCCAUGUGAGUAUGCUCAUGGCAUAAAACCCAUAAGUACAUUCACUGUGGUGGCGUAAAAAUGAAAUAAAUAUAUUCCUGUCCUAUAAAAAUAAAUUUAUGAUCCUACUAAAGAGAGUAAUAUUUAUUAGAGGAAGCUCAACAUGAUAAAGGCUAGAUAUUUAAGCUAACACUUAACCAGUUCCACAUAGCUUUGUUGUCUAUUUGAGCUCCACAGAAUUCAAGGAUCAAAGAAGACUAGCAGACGAAGGACAUCCUAAUCGCUGUCAGGGUGCUGCCGACAUACCUCCGCAACCUGCUGGCUACAUCAGAAGAAAUUACGUCAAAAUCCAGCUUGGGGGAGAGCACCCCCAUUUAUCCAGCUAAGUAUUCUACUCACGUUUAUACUUUACUCUAAUAAUAAAAGGAUGCAUAAUCAUAAAAACCCAAAUAAAGAUUUUGUGCUUAUAUAUAUCUUUGCUUAGUUCGCUAAAUAAAUAAAUAAAGAAAGUUUGCUAUGAACCCUCAUGAUAAGCUCUCACAUGAAAAUAAUGAAUAGUUGCUCUGCCAUGACUAGUUCUCAAAAUUGAAAUCUCUCUCAAGUUUAGGCAUGACUGGUAUUAAUUAAGAUUUGCUCUAAACCUAAACUUGUGGGGAGAGUACUUGAUCUAAAGUCUAAGUCCUUAACGGAUACGAUAUGGGAAGGUUGAGCUGUUGUUUAUCUGUUCCUAGAGAUGCUAGAAUUCUGGAGAAUUUUAUCUUUGAAAAUCUUUAACAUGUUGCAUGAUGAGUUCCUGUAUGAUGAGAGUUUAAAUUCCUACCAUAGCCAUAUAUACAUGCUUGCUAGACUAUGAGCCACACAUUUACUUUACUACUUAUGAGCAUUGAGUGUAGUCAAGCUGUGUAGACCCUUAGGAGCUUGUCAUGCGGUUAAAUCAAGAUUCACUUGCACGUUCACUCACACAAGCUGCUUCUACUCCGGAAGUACGCAUCCACAUAUAUCCACCCAUUUGCAUCUCCAGAACCACCCAAAAAUAUUCUACUCCUAAUCCGGGAGAGAAUAGCCAAAAACAUUUCUAUUUUUCCCUAUGAAAUAAAUGCUCAAGUUAUCUUCGUUACUACCACUUGCUAUAUUAUUUCAGGAGAUGAGUGCUCUAAAAAAAAGAAAAAAAAGUAUACGAGGAAAAAAAAGGGGCAAGUGCCCGGAACCUCAAAAGAAAAGAAAAAGUGAGACGAGAGGUAAAAAUGGACAAGUGUCCGACAGUAGAAUUAGGGGUACAAGAUACCCACCUGAGAGAAAAAAAAAAGAAAAUAUAGAGCAUCUCAUUCUCCUCAAAAAGUUUCAAAAGAGCAAGAAAGGUAUGUAUCCCCUCAAAAGAGCACAAGUAGAAUUAGACAUUCACCAUAGUUAUCACCAUUACUUUCACCAUUAUCACCAUUCAUUCGCCACACAUCCACAUCUUGAUUUGACUUAUUGACUUGUUCUUCUGGAUCCAUGGUUUGACUAUGCAAUAACACUACUACGGAUGCGUUUACCAAUGACGAUCCCCUUUUGUCACUGAAGACCCCACAUUCGUCACAUGAAUUUUUUUGUGACGACGUUGUGACGAAAUCGUGUUCGUCAUUGAAUUGGCGUCACAUUAUGUGCACCGUGACGAAAUGACGAAACGACUGCCGUCAUAGAUAUGUUUCUAAUAUAUGACGAUUUGUUUUCGUCAUUGCUAUACCCGUCGUUUUGUCAAUACUUGCCGUUUGUCAGCCGUUGGGACACCGUUUGCCAUGUUGACAGCUGACGUGGCACGCCCACGUGGCAGUUGACUUGUCGCUGACACGUGGCAAGUGACGUGGAUCGUCACGUGGCAGAUGACGUGGCACGCCACGUGACUGAUGACGUGGCUCGCCACGUGGUUGCUGGCGUGGCUAGUGACAUGGCUGCUCCGGUGGGCUGAUGUGAGUGGUCCACGUGGCAUGAUAUGAUUGGAUUUAUUUUCGUCACAGUAGUAAUUAUAAAAUCGUCACUGGAACAAUUUGAAAAUCGUCAUAUAUUUAUAAAAAUUCUGCGCGGGUGCACAUGCUGCUUCAUUACAAAAUGCACAUAAUAUUGAAAUGACCAAAUGCUUGCAGGUGCCAUUCAACUUAGUGAACAGUACUAGUCUGGUCACAUAUAACUAACUUGACAUCACAUCUACUAGUUUCAUCAUGUUCACAUCACAUGAAAUAAAAAGAAGUGUGCCACGACCACCAACACAAGUCCUUGCACACAAACAACACCAGCAGUGAGCAAUAGGUACUAGGUGCGUUAACGGCACACAAAAUCAAGAUGCACAGAUCAGUAUCUUAGAGUGAUGCUCAUGUCGAGGAACCACCGUUGAUGGUCAACAGACGCUUGAGAAGUGCAUUGUUCUCAUCAAUGGCCUUGUUGUUGAUCUCUGUAAUCUUCUUGUACUCCUCCAACUCCUGUUGUGUCCUCGCAAGCUUUUCCUCAGCUUCUUCACUUCUUUUCUUGAGUUCAUCAAGUUCGCCUUGUACAGCAGCCGUAGCUUGAGCUGCUAGUUCUUCGCGAAGCGCUCUUUCACUUGUUGGUGAAGAUUUGGAGGCAGCCACUGGUUUGAUGCCAACACUCUUGAGGAAAAUGUUGGAGCUGUUCUGGGACAGCACCUGAGACACAACCUGCACACUUGAAACUGUAGGCUCUCCUUCAGCAGCAGGCUGUGUCCUCAGCGCUUCCAUGUUUUCCUGAAAGAACAAGGACGAAUUAGUAGGAUAUAGUUAUUGCAUUAAUUUGACAAGGAGAUAUCAGAAAAGAUGUAUUUUGAAAUAAGAAACCUAAUGUUGCAUUGACAGAAGAUUUUCCAUAUUUGAUAGUUUAGUUAAUACAAAAAGAGGGCAACAACAAACUAGAAAUUGCACAGACAACUCCUUUAGUAAAACCAGUGAGUUUAUUUGUGAAAAUGAUAUAAUUCCAUAAGAUUGAUCUAAGUCUUUCACAAGUACUACUAUACAGAAUUGAUGUAUGUAGUCUAUGAGUAAGAACUGAUCUAAGAUUCUAAGUGCUUUGACAAGUAGUAAUACACAAAAUUAACAGAGGCCACAGAAUAUAUGGAGUAUGCAUUGUUGUAAGUGGUUUUACACAGGGCAUAGAAUUGAUAUAUGGAGAUCAAGUAGUAAUGCAGAAUUUACACAGGCACAGAAUAUAUGGAGUGGAGUGCAGUAAUUAGGUGUAAACAAUUAUUUUGUUAAAUUAUGUACUAAUGUACAGAAUUGAUGUACAGAAACAAUUAGUAAGAUUUGAUGUAAGUGUUUUGACAAAGGUGACAGCUUUUGGGAUUGCAUUUUCUGACAACCUUUGCUAUUAUACAAAAAGAUCCAUAGUACAGAUAAAAGUUCUAAAAACAAAAGAAGUGCAUACAAGUGUAAAUUUUCACUUCUGCAACUGAUUGUAUCCAACUCUGGAUCAAGUUAACACACAACAUAGAUCAAAUAUUUUGAAGUCAACACUUGUGGAUAUUCUAUAGCAUAAAAUUCCAAUAAACACUAAAUAGCACUAACAACCAGGUUAAGUGGGGACUUACAAUAGCUUCUCUUGCUGGUUCAGUGAGGCCAUGUUUGGAGCUGGUAUGGCAGGCCUUGAAUGCCUCCACCGCAUCAAGUUCUUCAUUUGCGUCUAAGCUUGGUUCAACAUUGUUUGUCCUCUCCUUCUGUUUUGUAGAUGGUGAAUUACAGCAAAUAAUUGUGAGAUCAAAUGCAAAAUAACUUGUUUAGUGGAAAUAUGUACAAGGUAUAUUUUACUUACAUAUGCAUGUAAGUGUGCCACAUAGCUACGAGAACCUGUAGCCUGAUGAUACUUAACCUUAAGGCGAUUUUGCUUGUUCUUUUCACUUGAUUCCUACAAUUGAAUGAUCAUUUGACACUUGAUUCACUUGAUUUGAAUUGAAACUGAAUGAGAAAGUAAAAGUGACAAGGUACCCAUACCAUGUUCUUUGGAUCAGUCCAAUUUGCCACUAGUGCCCUCCACUGCUGAUCAGUCAUGGAUGGAACUGGAGAGGUUGUCCUAAUCUGAUCUGCGGGUACACCAAUGAAGUACUUCUUCUUGAGGCGGUAACGCAACUGUCGCACCCCGGAGCGUAGCAUAUCAGUGCAAGCUUCCUCAGUUGCCUUGUCUUCUUGGUUGAUGGCCAAUCGGCCCUAGUCAUCAGGCAAUUGCAUAAUUAGUUAGUCAAAUCAUGUUAUGCACACAUGGAAAUGAACCAUAUAAGCAAGAAAAGCACUUACAGAUAGCUUUCCCACAAAGUUUUUGUAAUACUGCUCAUCUCUCUUGUAAUGCUUCCAAUGAGUUAGGACUGGAACCUUGUCUCUAAUGAUGACCCCAGCCUCAGAUGCAAACUUUGCUGCUUGAACAGGUUCAUGUGGCCUUCUUUUGCCUUCUGCAACAGCUAUGGGCAUCCUCCUUCCCAUAGCUUUGGUCAUCUUAGUAAGCUGUGAUCCAAAAGUGGGUGGCCUGGGCCUCCUUGGGGCUCGCUCUGUCGGACCUACAAAACAGAAGUUGAAUAUAAAGAAUUAUGUUUCAUUUAAGUGUGCAAAAGAGAUGACAUAUUUGAGUUACAAUGAAACUUUUACUUGCCUUCAUUGUGAUCUUGUUCUUGUUCAUUGUCUUCAUCAACACUUGUAGUGUCUUGAGCAGCACCUACACUUUCUUCCUCUGCAGCUGUUGUCUCCUGAGCAGGAGCUGCAAUGCCUGAUUCAGCAGGUGUACAAGACCUUCGUGUUGUUCCUUCUUCAGUCUGCCCUUGUGUUGCUAACAAAUGAAGCCUUUUCGACGUUCUUGUCUGUGAUUGAGGAGGUUGCACCUCUGAUCCUUCAGCCCUGACUCUCUUGCUAGUCAUUGAUCCUGGAGCCAUCUUGUCACCUGUCUUCUUCCUCUUUGAAGCUCGGCCUCUAGGACUAGGAGUAAACCCUGGAGGAUACUGUGGAAAAAAACAAGUGUCAUACAGAUGAAAAAUGAAUUCAUAUUAUGCAGAUAUGUGAAGUAGGAAUUAUUUGAUUUUAAGGAACAAGAAUUUGGUCAUGCUCAUGCCAUAUCACCUACAGAAUAGCUCAUUGGAAACACUUUUAAUAAAUCUAGGGAAAACUAACUUAUGUAUUUACCUUUGUUGCUAGGGGUUGUGGCUGAUCAUCAGAUUCAGUGUCAUCAUCAUCACUUUCUCCUUGAUCAUCACUGUCAAGGAGAUACUCCAAUGAAUCCGAAUCUUCACUACUUGAUUUCUUGUUUGCUGAUUUUUUCCCCUUUUUUGAUGAAGAUUGAGGUAAGGAGUUAUUAAAAUCAUUUGCUAAUUUUUUCAGACCCAUUUCUUCCAUCCUCUUUUCUACCGCCGCCACUUGUGCAUCCCUCCUUCUCUCAUAAUCAUUUUUUGGAGGUUCUUACAAGAAGAAGCAAAUUGUGUGUAUUAGAGAAAAAAAGGAGUGAACUAAGAUUUAAUACUACAUGCUACAAAGAUAAGUGGUACGAAGUAGUUCAUAUAGAUUGUAGUUCUUUAGAUUAAUUACUUUGAACUAUUACUACUUGCAGUUAGGAUGAGUAGAAUAGUAGGGAGAAGAGAGAGGAGAGUAGUAGAAGAGUAGAGAGGAUAGUAGUAGAAGAGUACAGAGGGAGAUUUGGCUACCAUAGAGAGUACUAGCACAAGCAGAGUAGGGAGGAGAAGAGAGAAGAGAGGAGAAAAUAGUGUUUCUGUACAUUACUUUGAAGUACUACUACUAAUAGUAGGGAUGAGUAUAAAGUAGAGAUGAUAAGAGAGAGUAGAGUAGUUGAAGAGUAAAGAGGAGAGCAGUACAAGAGUAGAGAGGGAAGAGUUGGUGGCCAUAGAGAGUUGCAGCAGAAGUAGACUAGGGAGGAGAAGAGAUAAGAGAGGAGGAAAUAGUAGUUAAAGUAGUCCUAGUAUUAGGAACAUCCACUGCAUAGUAGUAGUGUGGUAGUAGUAGUAAGUUAGUACCUGUCGUAAAGACAGUUUCACAAGAUUAUACACUAACAGGGAGCUGAAAACAAUCAAAACUCCAAAAUUAGACACUAAGUGACCUGGUGCUAAAAACAAUCAAAACUCCAAAAUUAGACACUAAGUGACCUGGUGCUGAAAACAAUCAAAACUCCAAAAUUAGAAGUUCUCUUUGAAGCAAAAAUUCUUUGCAACCUUGGCAAAAGUGGAAAAUACCUCAACACCUUGUGUGGAAUCCGCUUCGCCCCAGUUCCAUCUUUCCAUCUAGACGCCUUGCAUACUGGGCACACAUCCUCCUUUUCAUACUCCUUCCGAAACAACACACAAUUAUUCUCGCACACGUCAAUGUUUUGAAAUCCAAGGCCCAACUCUUUAAGAUAUUUCUUCGCCUCAUCAUAUGAUUUUGGCAAAUCACUCUGAGGGUAUCCUUCUGACAACAGCUUCAUGAUUACGGAAAAUGCUCCAUUGCCAAUUCGAUAACGAGACUUGAUAUACAGCAUCCUCACCAGAAAAGAGAAUUUAGAAUGCCUAGAUCCCGGGCUAAGAGACUUCUUCGCAUCUUCAAGGACUCUAGCAAACCUUGGUUGUUCUCCCUGAGCCUCUGCAAAAGAAUACAACUCUCCUAUCAUCUCUGGUACUCCGUGAUCCUCAUCAUAGUCAUCAUCGGCCAUAUCCACAUUUAUCCCAAAGUCAUAAUCCCUUCCUUCGACCUCCUGCCGGUCCAAAUUUUCAACUACUUCAACAUCUGCCGACUCCCCAUGCUCAAUCCACCUGGUAUAUGUAGCUGACAUUCCAUAAAUGUGUAGAUGGUCGCUUACAUCAGGCUGAGACCACAAUUUUUGAUUAAGACAUCGCGUACAUGGGCAAAGUAUCUGGCUGUCUUUGGAAUAUCUUUCGCUCACAAAUUUCAUGAACUCUUCAACUCCUUUCAUAUAUGUAGGUGUGAAUGGUGCUCCAAAAAUCCAGCUUCUAUCCAUCUGUUCUGAUAAUAGAAUAAAUGUUGUACGCAGUCCGUAAAUUACAGUAAUAAAUUUAAAAAAUAUUCAAACGCACAUCAAAGACAUGCAUACAUGUAAAAAAUGAUAAAUAAAUGAAAGCUUCUACUCGGCAUAAAUUUAGCCAUUUACGAAACAACAAAAAAUAUAAAUGGUUCUUCCUAUAUACAUGCAUGUACAAAAGGUAAAUGGGGUAUGUAUACUGUUCUUUUUUCUAACAAUUACUAUCAGCAAGUUUGAGAAGCUAAUAAAUUCUAAUAUCAGCUACAACCACAUUCACUUUAAGAUGUCAUACGAAGAAGGAAAGAUUCACUAUUUAGUCAAUUAAUUUUAAUGAUUACAUACAUAUAUGUUCACUAUUUACUUUUAGUCAAUUAGAUAGAUAUAUAUUCACUAUUUAGUCAAAUAAUUUUAAUGAUUAUGCAGAUUUGAACUGCUUAUUUAGAACGGACAAAGUCCAAAAAAAAAACAGUACAUACAUUUGCCAAAUAGUACUAAACUCUGGUCAGAUCACGCACUCAUGAAACUAAUGCUGCUAAAUCUGAAUAAUAAUAAUAACAAAAACGAGGAGAAAAGAAAAAGAAAAAAAAGAAGGGCAAGAGGAUCACCUGGGGACGCACGUCGAUCACCUGGAAGACUCGCCGCCGAUCAGCUAGCUUGGAUGCACGGCGUCGAUCCACGAGGACCUGGGGACGCGUCAAUCACCGCGGAGGCACGACGUCGAUCAUCAGGCGAUGCAAGGCUGCUACGUAGCCGGCCGCCACGAUCGCCCUCGCGCGAGGGUUCUCUACACCUCGCGUCCUCGCGUCUGUCUUCUGCGUCGUCUCGUUGUUGGGCCUGCCUUGACGUCACAGCCCAACUCGUGGGUUCGAUAACUAAACAAAUAAAACAAAAAAAUAUACUACAACACAACCGACUGAGUGGUCUAGUGGUAACCUGCCUCUUCCUGCAGCAGCAAGUCGCCGGUUCGAAGCUCCCAGGGAGCAAAUUUUUUUGCCAAAUAAAAAUUAGAGAGCCCUCGCAGCAGCUUCGGCCCCGCAUGGCCACGUCAGCGACGUGGGACCCGCUAGCAGGACCACGCCGGUGGGACGCAGUCGCCAUGUCAACGGAGUGGGGCCCAUGUCAGGACUGCUGGACCCACCGGUAGGACCAUGUGCCACGUCACUACGGUGGGACCUUCUGGUGGGACCAUAGUGCCACAGGUGGGACCAUGGCACCAUGUCAUGAACAUGGGGCCCACUGGUCGGACCCCAACCCCUCCGGUACACUGGCCAAACCAUCUAUGACGAUUUAGUUUCACUAUUUAGUGACGUUGAUUCUAUUUUCCGUCACUGUUCUUCGUACCAAAGCUCCGUCCCUUAUCAAACAUGACGAAGCUACUAAUUUCGUCAUAGAAUAAACUAGUUCUAUGACGAAAAUAGUUAGCGUCAUUAGGUAUUCGUCAUUGAUUAACACAUUUCUAGUAGCGUAAAUGUCAUGUAAGUAUGUAUUAGCUGUCUCCCACCUAUGAGCUCCAGAUAUCAAAACCUUAUUAGAGUAGGAUGAGAGAGAAGGCAAUGCCACUAUGCCUCAUACCAAAAAUACCACAUACUUUGAGAGAAGGCAUACACCAUCACUGUCUUGGUAAGGAUCCAGAAAUACUACAAAAGAGAGACUAGAGAGAGUCAUACAAGGAAUCUCUGAGUUUUAUUUGAAAAUCUGCAAAAACUCCAGAGCUAUAUUUAAUCGAAGAACAAGAGACAUGGCGCUUGACUAGACCAUUCUAUCUUUUAACUACUCAAGACACAAGUGACGGUUGCAAGCCCCAUGGUGGAAGGUAAAAUGAGUAAUUUUAAAUCUUAAAAGUUUACCCUAACCCAGAGAUGAGAUCUUGUUUGAACGCAUGUAUAUCUUUAAGGCAUGAAACCACUGCAGAAACUCUUAAGUUCAUCUUUGCUCAGGGACGAGCAAAGGUUAAGCUUGGGGGAGCUUGUUGACGGUCCUUAAUGCUUACAUUUAACCAUCAACUUAUCAUAGAAAAUGAUCCAAAUGCAACCAACACCUAGACUUAGGGUUUUAUCUGACAGAAUUCCACGAGUUUUGGUGUUUGUCUAUUUCUGCAGGGGGUUAUCAGGAAAUAUGAAAAAAAGGCCCACACGUCGGGUUUACAUAGAGAUAUUAACGUGCCGCGCAAUUUUCUACCAUCUAGAAGACUCCAGAAGCCACAGGAACGAACGGGAGGCCGAUCGGGCCCGGGGGCACGGCGCCCGCCCAAGUCCCUUGGGUGCCCGCCCAGCUACAGUAACCAAUCACCUUCAACUUCGUGGAUCGUGCUCCACCGACCUAAGGAACCAUGGAAAACCAUGCGAUUAAUGUCGGUUUGAUCCGAUGGCCCAGAUUCAUCUGAAAAGACUAUAUAAGCAAGGCCCCCUGGCCCUUGGAGAGCAUACCUCUUCUACAGAAUCAAAGUUAGGGUUUCAAUUCUUCAUCCAAGUAGAGAGGAUCCCUCUAGUUCUUCUAGUUCUACCUCUAGUUCAUCUAGAUCUAGUUCUAGUUCAUCUAGUUCUAGUUCCUCUAGUUCUAGUUCUAGUUAGUUCUAGUUGUAAUCUAGAAAAUAGGGAGAGAGAAGAGGAGAGCGGAGGAGGAGGAGCCAGAUCUGUCGGAUCUUCCUCAACAUUGUACUUUUGCAGCAACUGGUUCGUUCUUCAUCGUUCUCCAGGUUCUUCAAUUCAUAAUUCCUAAGUUCUUUAAUUACUUUUAUUUACAUUCAAGUUAUUUAUUGGAUUCCCGCUUGCAUCAAGUGCUCUAAUCUUUGAAACAUUAGAGUAGUAAUUAAUAGAUUAGACGUGGUGUUUAGUCUUGCAAUUACCUGGAAUUGCACCCAAUCCUGCGGAUUGUUGUUGUCGAGGGUAUCAACAAGGGGUACCCUCAUCGACGCGAAUAACGAAACCAUCCGUACAUAAAACUAGCGCCUCGAUUCGACGCUCCGUCCGCACACACGCACGACCAUCGACGACCGUAGCCUCGAAGACGGAAAUAGCGUCGAGCGAAUCAAUCAGGCGUCGAGCUCUGGUCAACGUCGAAUACGGAACAGGCUCCCGCGAAUCGGGAGGCGUCGAGCGCAAGGACGCUGCCGCCGCCUAACGCGCGCACGCGGGCCAGGGCAUUAAAUGCGCCUGGUGCCUCCCCACCUAACACAUGGGUCACGGGGGGCGUGAUAGAGAACAGGCACCUAUCCCAUCGAUCUUUUUGCAGCCUUCCCCACCAAACGGCCCAAGGCGUGUCAGGACGUGGGAAACAGAGACGGAGUGUCUAAUCAAGACCCCCUCGAGAUGGCCAAAGUCAGCGCUCCAACAUCAGGACGUCGUACGGCGUCCGACCCUCGACCAGAUAGAGAUCCAUCCAGGAGACAAGUCGGGCGUCGACUGACCACAUCCCAACUGCUCCGCCGGAUUUGCCGUCGGGUCGUACGAGCGUACAUCAGGCAAAUCAAUCCAGGACGGCGUGCAGAACGGAAUGCAAGGGCACGCGUAAUCAUCACCAGGCUAUUAAGACGGGACGACUCGAGGCCAUGCCGGUACGGAAGCCUCGAGUAGGUCAGCGCUCCAUACUGCUAUCGACUCCUAUUCUGACGCCUAUACAUGUACCCUGGGUCUCUCCUUGGGACUAUAAAAGGAGGGACUCAGGAAUAGAACGGAGGACGAGACCACGCUCAUAUGCAGUAGAGCUCCCCACUUCAUACCACGCUUGUAUUCACCCCUGUACGAGCACUUAGGUGCAAGAUAAUACAAACUCUCUCCCCCCGCUGGACGUAGGGCCUUCUCUUGCCCGAACCAGGAUAAAUCUCUGUGUCUUCUUGCAUCACCAUCCGGGAAAGGGAGCACGCAUACAAAUUUACUCGUUGGUGUGACCCCCCGGGGGAAAAACACCGACAGUUGGCGCGCCAGGUAGGGGUCCUGCGUGUUUUUUCAUCGAUUUCCCACUCCUUUCCGGAUGGCUACUCUUGCCUCGCCGUUUCCGCGCUCCACGGUGAUUUGGUUUGGGAGUCUCGAGUUCAUGUCUACGGGCUCUGGCUACGACAUGAUCUUGCUCUCAGUCAAAGGACCAGGAGGAGCCCGCGUUACGCCAGCACGGUUGAAGGCCCCGAGACGCCCUCACCACCAUGCCUCCACGCCUAAGAAGAGGCGCGGACAGCACCACCGCGGCCCCUCUGCUUCAGCACGACCAACAACUCGUGCGAGGCAGGACGUAGGCCACAAGUCGGCAGCACCGUGUGACGGAGCAACAAGCGCGACGACUCAGCACCGCGCGACGACGGGAGGGGACGCGUCUCGCGCGCUCUCCCCCACCGCUGCUAUGCUACUUCCACACGGGUUGUUCACUCCAAGAGCGGCACUGCCGUUCGGAUUGGACAACGCCGCGGCGUCGCUCGCCAGGGCGAUAUGCCCAAACGCCCAGACGUACGUAGAAAGACCAAUGGUCCUCCCACGUAGCUCUGAAGCGCGGCGGCCGGCGUCCGAGCUGCCGGACCUUUCCCGGGUACGAGGCCUCCGUCGUCUAGGCCCCGGACGAUACUCGAUCACCUCCCUCAGGCAGCGAUUGCUGGAGGAAGGACGUGGGUGUUUCUACGCCGCCAAACCAGACUCCGACUCCGAGACAGAUAGCUAUGACCCUACGAGGGAAUGCUAUCACAUCGACGGGGCGGUAGAAACUACCGACGAGACACGGGAUGCUGCUGCGGGCGGUCGAGCCCCCACGGCGCGAGAAGACCCCAGGACGCCUGGCAACGACGGACAGGUCGACCCCCCUCCACAGGAAGACAGAACCGCGCAGCUCGCGCAGCUGCGGGAGCUCAAGAUGAAGCUCGACGAAGACCGCGAGCGCCUCGUCCUGCUCGAGCAAAUCCUCAAGCAAGACCUGCCCUACCCGCCGGGCGAAAGUGUCCGCAGACGCGCUCGAGAGGUACAUCGACACAUCGUCGGCGACGCAGAGCCAGAGCAACCUGUCAGCCGUUUCCCUCGAGCAGGCCAGAAUGUAGUGGCAGCGACGAUGCUGCUACGUAACAUGCCAGAGCCGUCGAAUUCCCAGGCCCGACGCAUUCGAGAUGAGGUACAGACAUUGCUCCAGGUGGCGGCGGUUCAACAAGCCGAAAGUUCGGCAUCUCGACGAUGAGGAGCUGCCACAGAGAAGCGCGACGAACAGCCUCUAAACGAAAAGGAGGUGUCAGUCCAUCAACAACCUCCCCCUCGAGGCAGAAAGACCGCUCUCAUCCUCCCCGUCGACAAUCAGCGUCGACACGACGCGCGGCACGACAUCGAAGAAAAUCGACGCCGCCGGCACGGAGACGCGGAAGAGCGCGGUUACAGCGCGCAUCGCGGUGGGAGAUACGACAGCGACGAGGACCGGGUGGCCCCCGAGCCACCAGGCCCACGGGUGUUCAGCAGGGCGAUCCGCAGCACGCCCUGCCCAAUCCAUUUCGACCCCCGACCAGCAUCGCAAAGUACAAUGGAGAGACCAAACCAGAGUUGUGGCUGGCCGACUUCAGGCUGGCCUGUCAGCUAGGUGGCGCUCGAGGUGAUGAUCGAGCCAUCAUCAGACAGCUACCCCUUUUCCUCUCCGACACCGCCCGUCGAUGGCUCGAGGAACUCCCUGCCAAUCAGAUCCACAGCUGGGUUGAUCUGGUCAGAGUCUUCGAGGGUAACUUCAAAGGGACCUACAUACGGCCAGGGAACUCGUGGGACCUCAGCAAGUGCAAGCAGAAGUCAGGAGAAACUCUUCGAGAGUAUGCUCGACGCUUCUCGAAGCAGCGCACUGAGCUGCCGCACAUCCCUGACCACGACGUCAUCUUGGCGUUUGUCUCGGGCACCACCAGUCGAGACUUGGUGCGGGAAUUAGGUCGCAAUCGACCUCAGACCGUCGACGAGCUGAUGGACGUAGUAGCCAACUACGCGGCAGGGGAGGAGGCAGUCGGCGCCUUCUUCAGCUCAGAAGGAAGAAAAGGCAAGCAGCCUGUCGACGAAGAUGGGACCCCCAGUCGAGGCCUCAAGAAAAAUAAAAAGAAGCAGAAAGUGCGGCAGUUCCACCGGGAGGAUUCCGAUGACAACCUUGUCGCCGCCAUGGAUCGAAAGAAGCCUCGAGGCCCUCCGGAUGGAGGCAUCUUUGACAAGAUGUUGGAGGAGCCGUGCCCUUACCAUAAGGGAGGCGCCAACCACAAGCUCAAGGACUGUCGUAUGCUGAGAAAGCAUUUCGACGGUCUGGGGUUCAAAAAAGAUGCGCGUGAUGACUCUAAGAAAGAGAAGGGUGGCAGCAAGGAGGACAACAAAGAUGACGACGGCUUCCCCGCCGUCCACGACUGCUACAUGAUCUAUGGCGGGCCCUCGACUCAAUUGACCACGAGGCAGCGCAAAAGGGAGCAUCGCGAAGUCUUUGCGGCAAGAAUGGCGGUGCCCCAGUACCUUAGCUGGUCAAGCACUCCUAUCACUUUCGACCGAGAGGACCACCCCGACAAGGUAGUCGCCCUAGGCGUCUACCCGCUCGUCGUCGACCCCAUCAUCGUCAACACCCGACUCUCGAAAGUGCUGAUGGAUGGUGGCAGCAGCCUCAACAUCUUCUACCUCAAGACCCUCGACCUCCUCGGCAUCGAUAGAGGACGCCUCCAGCCAAGCGCCGGCGGUUUCCAUGGCGUCGUGCCAGGGAAAAAGGCACUACCAGUAGGUCGAAUUGACUUACCGGUCUGCUUCGGCACAGCGGCCAACUUCAGGAAGGAGACCCUCACCUUUGAGGUGGUUGGGUUCCGAGGCACGUACCACGCCAUCAUCGGGCGCCCGGGCUACACCAAGUUCAUGGCUAUACCCAACUACACCUACUUGAAGCUGAAGAUGCCCGGUCCCAAAGGCGUCAUCACUGUCAGUUCCUCCUUCGAGCACGCGUACGAGUGAGACGUCGAGUGCGUCGAGUACGGGGAGGCGGUCGAGAGCUCCACCGAGCUCGUUGCGAAGCUCGAGGCCCUGGCCGCUGAGGCUCCAGAGCCUAAGCGCCAUGCGGGCAGCUUCGAGGCGGCAGAAGGAACCAAGAAGAUCCCGCUCGACCCCAACAACUCAAGACGGCAAAGUGCUGACGAUCAGCACCGACCUCGACCCCAAAUAGGAAGCUGUGCUCGUCGACUUUCUCCGUGCAAAUGCUGAUAUGUUAGCAUGGAGUCCCUCGGACAUGCCAGGCAUACCGAGGGAAGUCGCCGAGCACUCCUUGGAGAUUCGAGCCGGUUCCAAGCCAGUGAAGCAGCGGUUGCGCCGAUUCGAUGAGGAGAAGCGCAAGAUCAUUGGCGAGGAAGUCCACAAGCUUUUGACGUCCGGAUUCAUCAAGGAGGUUCAUCAUCCCGACUGGUUAGCAAACCCUGUAUUAGUUAAGAAAAAGAAUGGGAAAAUGAGGAUGUGUGUCGAUUAUACUAGUCUGAAUAAAGCAUGUCCAAAAGUUCCUUUUCCAUUGCCACGCAUUGAUCAGAUUGUCGAUUCUACCGCGGGAUGUGAGACCCUUUCUUUCCUCGAUGCAUAUUCUGGUUACCACCAAAUAAAAAUGAAGGAGUCCGACCAGCUUGCGACCUCUUUCAUCACGCCUUUUGGGAUGUAUUGCUACGUGACCAUGCCAUUUGGGCUUCGAAACGCGGGAGCCACGUACCAACGUUGCAUGCUCCACGUAUUUGGCGAACAUAUAGGGUCAACGGUCGAGGCCUACGUCGAUGACAUUGUCGUCAAGUCAAAGCGACGAGGAGACCUGAUCCAGGACCUCGAGAUUGCCUUUAGCCAUGGGACACCACCUCCAUGUCAUAGGAGAAGCCCGAGCAGACAACCCGAUGUGGAGGGCGUCCCGCACCCGAUCUCGCAGCAUCGCGCCUAUGUAGCACAACUGGUCGACCAGGGCGUCGCCUCGAGCACCCUCCCUCGACUCAUCCAUAGGCUCGACCUCCCAAGAGGUCGAGAGAUCACUUAUCGCCGUCCGCACUCGACGGUUCAAAGCAACCUCCGCUUUGAGCUGAGCCUUGGCGUUGCGAGCCUCGGCUUGGGCGGCCAGGAGUUCGUCCUUGAGCCCUGUAAAGGGCAAUACAAGGUACUUUAGCAAAAACCAAACACGCCUUGAAGAAGAAAUCUAGCGACAGGAACAUACCACGAACGCUCUCCUCCAGGGCCGUGUUCUCGCCGACCAGUCUGGUGUUGGCACGCUCGAUCUCCCUGUUGGAGCGCGCCAGCUCAGUAUUGGCAACGCGGAGAUCUUCGAUCACCUUGCCGGCCUGAGCAAUGGCACCACUCUUCUCCAGCAAUUCCCCCUUCAGACGCUCGACGUCGUCGGAGAGACUGCGGGAUCGAGCCCGCUCCACCUCGAGGUCUUCGAGGGCCUUCUUCUUUACAUCCUCGGCGGCGCCCCUGGCGACCUCACUGUCCACAUACGCCACCUUCAUCUUUCGGAAAGACUCUCGGAGAGAGUCCAGGUCGGAUUUAAGGAGGUCCUUCUCCUUAUCCAAAUCCGCGAUAACGUUCUUAUAGGACAGGGCCUCCUCCCUGACCUUAGAUGCGACCUCCUCGACCGUAAGGGCGCGCUCCCGCAACAGCACUGUCUCCUCCUCUGCCUUCUUCGAGGCCUCUCGAGCCUCGGCCAGAGCAGCCUCCCUCACCUUUUUCUCCUCCUCGAGUGCUAUGAGUUCUUUAUAAGCUUUCAGGAGCUUUUCCUGCGACUCGAGGAGCUGGUCUUUGAGGAGGGGGAGCUGCUCCCAACCGCCCCUCGUGGCGUGUAUGAAACUGGACUUGAUGCGGGAAGUCUCUUUCAUAUCCUGCGAGUCAAGGGUCGGGUGGAUUAGAAUACAAAAACCAGAAAGCACCAUGAAGAUUGAAGUUCGAGAAACACUUACAAAAUAAGCCGGGUCGAGCCCGUUGUUGAUAACGUCCGAGAGGAGCCCCACCACAUGCUUCAUCCAAAGGCGGAGCUCCUCGACGUGUUCCCACUUCUCCGCCUCCUUCCGAUCGUCAAGGAAGAUGUCGGGCUCAGACGGGUCGUGGGAGGCCCGGAUACGGAUGCGAUCGGGGCACCAGUCCUCCAUCUCCCGGUCAGCCCGCGCCUUAACGCCGCGGAUGAGGUCCUCGACGGUCUCGAGAGAACCCCCAUGGCGCAGGAACAGGUCGACGAGGCAUGGGAACCGUCCGUCGUCGUCCACCGUCUUCCAGGUUCCGUCCUUGGUCCCCGACGUCCCAAUUUCAUCCUCCUCGGAAGGAAAGCGGUCCUCCCACGCCCGACGUUCCUGUAGGAACCCUGGGGCGAUCCCGUCCAUGCCGUAAAUUGUCCUCUUGAUCUCGGACUCGGGGUCGGGGGGGUGCGCUUCAGGCAGGCGAGCGCCACCACUCCAUCCGCUCGCCCCGGCUCUGCCCGGAUCGCGGCAGGUGCCCCGGGGAGGAGCCACGCCGGGGUUGGAGGGUCGUACACCGGCAGAUCCUCCUCCUGCUCGCCGAGCUCUUGCGGCUCCGGUGGCACUGGCUGGGCCGGACCUUGGGGCGGAGGCUCGAGCAAUCCCUCCUCUUGGCCCCCCUGCUGCUGCUGCUGUUGCUGCUGCGGUUGUUGCUGCUGCUGCUGCUGCGGUUGCUGUUGCUGCUGCUGUUGCUGUUGCUGCUGCUGCUGUUGUUGUUGCUGCUGUUGAUGUGCCUCGUGCUCCUGUGGCUGCCGCGCCGCCUCGCGCUCCCGCUGUUCAUCCUCCUCCCUCUUCUUUUUCUGCUCCUCGAGGGUGCGGAGGCCGGCGGGCCAGGGAGUUGAUCCCGCGACAUGAGGGGUCGACGUUUCCUCCUCCAUGGGGCGGGCACCCCCAGACGCUCUGUUACCAUCAGACGUGUCGCUGAUGGUGAUGGGUUCCCCCUCGACCCCCAAUAAAGGGGGCUCGGGGGCUCCCUCUGACGUUUGCGUCUGGGGCGCCUCACCACCAGUCGACGGCGACGGGGUAGGCACAGGACGAGCCGGGGCCCUCUCGACGCCGGCUGGAGGUUGAGAGUCGGAGGAGCCUACAAAGCGAAAGGUAAGGGCCAGACGAUAUAGUAACCAACACGAGGGCCUCACAAGACCCAGAAGUAAAUUACGGACCUGUUUCCUUGGAGGCGGCUCCCGUUUUGAGCCUCUUUGCCAUAGAUGGCUGGGCCUGCUCGAGGGUCCGCUUCAGCCUGAGAAAAGAUCGCUAUAUGAGAAAAGAUCGGCAGAGGAACAGGAAGACAGAAGCCACAACAUCGAAAGGGCUUACCCCACAGGGAGAACAGCUCGCCUCCCGCCUCCCCGACUAGCGGGCCUCGAGCCACCCCGCGUCAGGGCUCUAGGUCCCUCGAGGGCAGGCGCCGCCCCAGGCGCGUCGGUUCCCGCCUGACGGGCACCGGGACUAGCGCUCCUGCGGCCGGCCCCUCCUUUCUCGGGGGCCGCGGCGCGACCACGAGUCAGUGGCCCCUUCGCCUGGGGCCUAGCCUGACCGCUCUCUCUGGGCGCUGGGGGAGGGCGCGGUGCGUCUUGGCCCGUCUUGGGUGCAGGAGGUGUGUCGGCCCGAGGGCGAUGAGAUCCGCUCGGACCCUCCCUCGACGUCUCCGUCCGGGGGGCGUCGACGUCGCCUCGAGACGGGCCCUCGAGGAUCCGGUCGAGACGUGACGCCAUCCCCUCGGAAUCAUCACUGUCGUCGUCGUCGUCAUCAUCAUCAUUGGGGGAUUCUUCCUCAGGCUCCCCCCUCUGCCUGGAUUUGGCCCGACGCGCCUCUAACGCUUGACGGUCGAGGUUCUUGUUCUUCUCCCCCUUCUGGGCAGAGUCCUUAGCGGACUUUAGCUUUUCGGCAGAUUGGCGCCGUUUAUCACGGUCGGCCUCGUCCUCCUUUACCAGAGGCCUCGAGGACCGGACGUCGAUCCGUACCUGUCAAAAUAAAGGCAGACUUAGAAAAGAAAGGGAGAGGGGAAGAAAAGGAACCCGGAAUCGAGGUUGCACGCAAGAAGAAAACAUACCAGAUCUAUCGAGCCGGCGUCUGGCCUCAUGGGGAAGCCGUUAACAUGCUCCGGCUGAAAAUCGCCGGCAAUUGCAGCCCUGACUCGGGCCGCGACUUCGUCAUCCGCCGGAGCUUCGUUUGACAUCCGGCACGCCUCGAGGUCCCGAGAUGAAACGCCGGGGCCCAUCUCGUCCAUCCUCAACGGCCGAGACAUCAAAGGGAGAACUCUCCGAUGAUGAACGGCCGAGAGAACGACGGCGGCGGUCAAGCCCUCCGAACGCAGCUUCUUCAUGACGUCGAGGAGGGGGUCGAGUCGAGAUUGGUGAACUUGGACGACGCCGUACGUCCAAUUCUCCGGUCGCUCCGUGAUCAAGCGUCCGGUAUAGGCGGGCAGCAGGUCGUCGUCGUUCCUCAGGUAGAACCAUUGGGAGUCCCAACCGGCGUGGUUGGUCGACAGUCCCAUGUCGCACCCAGUUUUGAUAACAAAACCAAGUACUUGAAUAUGUGCGCCCAGGAUGUCCAAACACACAUAUUAUCACAAAUUGUAAAUAUAUCAAAGUAAAGUACUUUAUUACAUCGCUUAUUCAACUUAAAUAUCUCACAAAGUCUUGCUCAUAGCAACAUUAUUACAUAAAACGGAAAGCUAAGCCCUUGUUGCCACAGGGACACCAACUGGUGAACACUAGCUCUCUAGAAGUCCUGGACAUCUUCAGGGAACUCCUCAGUACACACAUCUGUUACCCAUCCGGGAUUUUCAUUGAAAUAUGAACAAGUGUAAGCGCACCAUGCUUAGCAAGUAUAACAUAGGGGUAUAUGAAGGCUCAAAGGCUUGACUCGGUUUAACAGCGGUUAGCAUUUUAGUUGGUCAUAUAUUUUUUUUACCAAGACUUACUACUUUUAGUGAAUGUCCAACCCUGGUUACAUAUGAAUUAAUCAAAGUUAUUAUAAUCCCCAAAUAUAACCAAGUAACCGCUAACCAAGAAGGAUCCAGGCCGCUCAUGACCGAGAGCUCGACUGUUAUAACAGGUUUUAGAUUUCUGCAGAAAUUGUACAACUUUACCCCCGAGCCGUGGUUCCUUAGUGUCGGGGUUUGCAAGGCCCACACCACUUCUACCGAGGAAGUGUGACCGGGUCCCACUACGUAACCUUUCACUAGUCACCCUAACAAAAUAGUAGCCGCGAGGUUUCAGUGGCAAGUGUGCAUAGACGACCUCCUUCGAGAGGCACAUGUGGUCGCGGCACUGUACACACCAAGGUAGGAGUGACAUCUAUACACCACGAGGCACCCCCCUCUAGCGCCUUUCGGUAACUACUAAAUUGCUAGAGACAUACUAGUUAUAUGAUUAAGGUCAGAGCCAUUUGACUCUCGGGAUUGUACGUGUCCUCCUGGGUGGCCGCUUCAGGAUUAAGUCCUUAUGGAGAGGAAUCUAGAGCUUUCAAACCCAAGCUCUAGCCCCCUGAACCAAGUUACUAGAACAUAUUUUAUCAUGUUGCAUACACCAAUUUAAUCAGAUUAAUUUAUUAACUUGAGUUUUGAGCAUAGCAAGCAACUACCUACAUAGAUGCACACCUUCCCAUGGGUAACAAGGAUUUGUGGUACAAAAUUUAUCUAGGUAAAGUCCUUAUAGGUAUUUCCAAUUUAGACACAUGCAUAUGUAUGAUUUAAGUAAUAUUCAUAGGUACAAGGAAGCCUAUAUUACACUUGCCUUCCUCAAAAGUUUCUUCCUGGUAGAGCUCCACAAACUGCUCCUCAACCACUCCAACCUGAUCUCCUUCUAUUCGUGAUCCAAACACCAAUCAAUCAUCCAUUCCAAUCAUCACAUGCAUACAAAUAGAGUUCUAUUAGAACAGUACACCAAAUAGUGAAAACAGUGACUGAAAAGUAUUUAAAUCUACUCUACGCAUUUCUAUGAACACAUGAGCGAAAGAAUCACUCUAAUCGGAUUUAAAACAUGAAAGUUAUGCAUAAAACAAAAUGAAUGGCAUUUCUGUGAAUAAACUGAAUCCAAAAACGAAUUUAAAAGAAUUAAAACUGACUUUCUAACGGGUCUGGACCACGCGCACUAUUAUUUAAAAGUACAGGGCUCAAAACGAAAGAAAACAGGAUUAAAAAGAAAUACUUUUGAACUGGAUUGGACCGCGGGUUGAUUUGCUUGAAACAGGGGGGUUAAACUGCAAAAACUUCAGCGGCCCGUGGCUGACCGCGUUGCUGACCGACAGGGGCCACGUGGCGUGCGGGGAUUGGCUCGGUCCACCACUGUGCGCGUGGACCGGCCGGCCGAGUGUUGUGGACCGCGCCCACGGGUCCACGGUGGACCGGUUACAUAACCCCGAAGGGGUAUGUAAUCUGGACCGUUGGGAUCUAAUCGGGCGGCUCAGGAAGGAGGGAGGCGGGGUGCUCGCCUGGCCGAGGCCGAGCACGGCGGCGCCAUUGUCGCCGACGAGGUGAGCUCCUCGGAGCUCACCGGAAACUCGUUCCCGGCCAUUCCAAACAAAACUAAAGCUACCGAAAUGAUCUACGCGACAAGGCGAACUCGAUAGAGCACAAAGAAGGGGCGGGGAGCACGUCGGGACGACGGCCCCGCGGUGGCGCCACUUCCGCGGCCUCGGCGAGCCUCGGGCUCGGUGGUCUAGCGCUCUAGUUCAAAAUUGAAAGCACGGGGAGUAUCGUAGAAGUACCGCGGUUCCGAUGGAGAUGCUCGCGGUGUCCGAAGGUGCUCCGAGCAGUGUGGCCACGAGCGCGGCGGUCUGGGGAAGAAAAGGGCGACGGUGAGCUCAAAUUCGUGGCAUACAAGAUCAAAACAAGGAUGAAAUCGAUGCCUACGGUCGCGGCGAGUCUCAACCAAACUCCCGAGACGAUCUCCUGGCUCUGGGUCGCUCGAGCAAGGGGAAACCGAGGUGGGGGAUCGACUCCGAGCUCCGGUGGUGGCUAGGGCAGCAAGGGGGGGCUCGGCCUCGGGUUUUAUAGGGCGAGCAGGGGCAUUGAGGGAGCGCGCAUGCGGGCGUUAACUCCCGGCGUCAAGGCGGCUUGAUGGAGCCCCGAUUGAUGGCCUCCAUCAAUCGGCGUUUGAAGGGGGGAUGAAUGCCCCUAGCGGUGCUCCCGGCUCGGUGGAGAAGAAGGGGGGGAGACGCUGACGUGCGGACCCCACGGUGCAGCGAGAGAGAGGGGGAAGGGUGAGCGCCGACAGGCGGGACCCACCACGCAGUGAGAGGGGGAGAGGGGGAGGGCGCGUGGGCUGACCGCGCGGAGUGGGCCGCGCCACUAGGCCGCGUGCGCGCGCGGAGCGGGCGAGGGGCGGGGUGCUGGGCCGCCACGGCCCAAGGCCAGGGGUGGGCGCGGGGGUUCAGGCCGGCCAGGGUUUGGGGGCUGGGCCAGAUUUGGGUGAACAGAAAUAAAAAUAGGAGAAAACUCUUUUGUAUUUUCCAGAACUAUAUAUUUGUAUAGAUCCCUUUAAUUUGAUUUUUAAACCAAACAACCCAGUCUUACAAUCAAUCAAAAAUAUUAUGCACCAGCAUGAAUGCAGCAUUUCAUGUUUCUAAACCUUAUGGUUUAUUUUAAAUAAUUCCAAAAAUUGUUAUUUUGCCUAAAUAAUUCUCAGAUAAUUCAUAUAAUUGUGCCAAAUUGAAUACUAAUUCGAAAAUAAAUUUUUAGGGUGCUACAAACCUACCCCCCUUAGGAUGAAUCUCGUCCUCGAGAUUCGGAUGGUUCAAAAAGAUGAGGGUACUCAGAUUUUAAGUCAUCCUCUCUUUCCCAGGUUGCUUCAUCUUUUGAAUGCCUAUUCCAUUGUACUUUGCACAUUCUUAUGACCUUGCUCCUGGUGGUUCUUUCUGCUGUCUCCAAAAUUCUUACAGGAUAUUCUUUAUAGGAAAGGUCUUUUUGAACAUCGAGCUCUUCCAGAGGUAACUGUUCUUCGGGUACUCUCAGACAUUUCUUAAGCUGUGACACAUGGAAAACAUUGUGAACACUAGAGAGUUGCUCAGGUAAUUCCAGUUGAUAGGCGACUUCUCCUCUCCAAGCAAUGAUCUUAAAUGGUCCCACAUACCUGGGAGACAACUUCCCCUUUGUAUGAAAUCUCUUGACUCCUCUCAUAGGUGAGACCUUGAGAUACACAUAAUCUCCUAUUUGGAAUUCCAAAUCCCUUCUCCUGGUAUCUGCAUAACUUUUCUGUCGUGACUGUGCUAUUUUCAAGUUCUGUCUUACUGUGUGUACUUGUUUCUCUGCUUCUUGCAAGAUUUCGGGCCCAAAAACUUGACUUUCCCCAGUUUGACUCCAAAAUAGCGGUGUCCUGCACUUCCUGCCAUAUAAUACCUCAAAAGGUGCCAUUUUGAGACUCUUCUGAUAACUAUUAUUAUAGGAGAAUUCUGCGUAGGGUAAACUUUUGUCCCAACUUGUCCCGUACUGCAGGGCACAAGCUCUCAGCAUAUCUUCUAGUAUCUGGUUUGUUCUUUCUGUCUGUCCAUCUGUUUGAGGAUGGUAGGCCGAACUAAAAUUCAAUUUGGUAUCCAUGGACUCAUGUAGUUUCUGCCAAAAGUGUGAUGUAAACUGUGUCCCUCUAUCAGAAACGAUUUUCUUUGGCACCCCAUGUAAACACACAAUCCUUUCCAUGUAUAAUUCUGCCAACUUUGCCCCGGAAUAGGUAGUCUUGACAGGGAUGAAGUGAGCUACCUUGGUCAAUCGAUCUACAAUAACCCAAAUAGAAUCGUAUCCUUUCUGUGUCCGAGGUAGUCCCACUAUAAAGUCCAUCCCAACUUCCUCCCACUUCCACUCAGGUAUUUUCAUGGGUUGAAGUAAUCCUGCUGGUCUCUGAUGUUCUGCUUUUACUCUUUGGCAGGUAUCACAUAUAGCCACAUAUUCUGCCACAUCUCUUUUCAAGCCAUACCACCAAUAUCUUUCUUUUAAGUCGAGGUACAUUUUAGUACUACCCGGGUGUAUAGAAUAAGCGGAGUCAUGAGCUUCUCUCAAGAUAGCCUCUCUAAUAGACUUUAUCUCGGGUACACAAAUCCUCUUACCGAACCAUACUGUUCCUUGAUCAUCCAUGUGGAAUCCUGGUGCCUUACCAAUCACUAUCCGUUCCGCGAUAUCUUUAAUUUUCUCAUCUUCCAAUUGUCCUUUACGGAUAUCUCGUUCUAGUGUAGGUUCCACCUCCAACUCCAUAGUAUUAGCCACUAUACUCAGGUUCAGAUGUUCAAACUCUUCGCACAACUCCCUAGGUAAUUGAGUCACAUAAGCCAUAUUAACAUAGCUCUUUCUACUCCGGGCAUCUGCCACUACAUUAACUUUACCCGGGUGAUAGUGUACUUCCAGGUCGUAGUCCUUAAUCAGUUCCAACCAUCUUCGUUGUCUUAAGUUCAAAUCAGACUGGGUGAAGAUAUAUUUUAAACUCUUAUGAUCUGUAUAAAUCUCACAUUUAUGACCGAUUAGAUAGUGUCUCCAUAUUUUUAGAGCGUGCACCACGGCCGCUAACUCCAAAUCAUGGGUCGGGUAGUUCAACUCGUGUUUCCUUAACUGUCUAGAGGCAUAGGCCACCACUCUGCCCUCUUGCAUGAGUACACAACCCAGACCUUGCCGAGAGGCAUCACAGUAGAUAGAGAAACUCUUAGUGAUGUCAGGUAAGAUGAGUACGGGGGCAGAAGUCAGUCUCUUUUUCAAUUCUUCAAAACUGGCUUGACACUCUUUGGACCAUAUAAAUUUAGCAUUCUUUUCUAGCAGAGCGGUCAUUGGUUUGGCUAGCUUUGAGAAACCCUCAAUAAAUCUUCUAUAGUACCCGGCCAUUCCAAGGAAACUUCUAAUUUCACUCACAUCUUUGGGUGGUUUCCAGCUUAACACAUCCUGGACCUUUUUUGGGUCCACUGUUACCCCUCCGUUAGAGAUGAUGUGCCCAAGGAAAGAUACCUCUUUUAACCAAAAUUCACAUUUACUAAGCUUAGCAUAGAGUUGAUGUUCUCUAAGCUUUUGUAGCACCAAUCUCAAGUGUUUCUCAUGUUCUAUCUCAUUCUUAGAGAAAACAAGUAUGUCAUCUAUGAACACAACCACGAACUUGUCAAGGUAUUCCAUGAAUACUUUGUUCAUCAAAUACAUAAAGUAGGCAGGUGCAUUUGUCAACCCAAAGGACAUAACUGUAAACUCAUAUAGUCCGUAUCGAGUCACAAAAGCAGUUUUAGGGAUAUCAGAUCGUCUUAUCUUUAACUGAUGAUAACCAGACCGAAGGUCUAUCUUAGAAAACACACAGGCUCCUUUCAACUGGUCAAACAGGUCAUCAAUCCUAGGGAGUGGAUACUUGUUCUUAAUUGUGACCUCAUUAAGUGAUCUGUAGUCUAUACACAUUCUUUGUGUACCAUCUUUCUUUUCUACGAAUAACACUGGUGCUCCCCAAGGUGAGGAACUUGGUUGAACAUAACCCUUAUCUAGCAACUCUCUUAAUUGCUUCUUAAGUUCUGCUAACUCAUUCACACCCAUUCUAUAUGGUCUUUUAGCUAUGGGUGCAGUUCCAGGUAAAAGUUCAAUUAUAAACUCAAUGUCACGGUCAGGUGGCAUACCUGGCAGUUCCUCAGGGAAUACGUCCGGAUACUCAUUCACUAUCCGUAUGUCCUCUAUGGAUGUCCCCUUCAGCUGAUUAACUGUGUAAUAUUGCUUAGCCGACAUGCUAACCUCUACCUCAAUUUGUUGGCCUGAAAGUGUCAUUAACUGAACUGUUUUGCUAUCACAUUGUAUAACUGCUUUUCUCUGUUUCAACCAUUCCAUACCCAAGAUAACAUCAAUGCCAGAAGUUUUCAAAACCACCGGGCUAACUGUAAACUCUACCCCCCUUAAGGUGAUGUUCACUAGAGGGCAUCUAAGGGUAGCUUGCAUUUCUGCUCCAGGUGAGCUAACUAUCAUGGAGUUUUUCAUAGCAAUCAUGGGUAUAUCAUAUUUCUUGACAAAAGACUGAGCAAUAAAGGAAUGUGAUGCAGCGGAAUCGAAUAAAACUGUAGCGGGGCUUGAGUUGACUGGAAACAUACCGAGCAUCACGUCCGGUGCCUCCUGUGCCGCCUCGGCUGUCACAUGAUUUACUCUUCCUCUGAUAUUGUUCUGGGCCAUCUUCUUGGGGCACCUAUUGGAGUAGUGUCCCGGCUCACCACAGCUGUAACAUUUGUUAUCAUUGUUGGCAUUUGGUGCUUUUGGUGCGCCAUUCUUUGGUGGAGCAUUGGGAACGUUUGUCUUUACAGGAGCAUUAUUAACUGGCUGCUGACGUAGGUUAGGAGCUCGGUACUGCUGCUGCUGCUGCUGUGCACGUUGUGGCUGCGGAUUACGAUUGACUAGGCUUGACUGACCUUGAUAGCGUUGCUGAGGAUAAGCUUGCGGAGGAUUGGUACGAGUACGCGUGUUGUUUCCUGACUGUUGCCCCUGGAACUUCCUCUUUUUAUCUUCCAUUUGGCGGCGUUUGUUCUCAAUCACCAAGGCCUUGUCCACCAGAUACUGAAAGCUUGUAAAAGUGUGGGAUAGCAGCUGGUAUUGGAGCCCAUCAUUCAACCCUUCCAUGAAUAAUUCCUGUCUCUUUUCAUCGUUAUCCACCUCUGUGGGAGCAUAUCGUGACAAUUGUAUGAACUUGUCACGAUAUUCAGCAACAGACAUACUUCCUUGCUUGAGGGAGAGAAAUUCUUUCUUCUUCAGUUUCAUCAGUCCGGCAGGGACAUGAUGAGAGCGGAAAGCAUUACGGAAUUCCAUCCAAGUUAUGGGGUCAGCAUCCGCACGGCCAAAACGAAAAGAAUCCCACCAAUCAAGGGCAGCUCCUUGCAAUUGCCCUGCCACAUACAACACUUUCUCUCUGUCAUCACACUGUGCAAUCUCUAGUUGUCUUUCGAUCGCAUGAAGCCAGUCAUCCGCUUCGAGAGGGUCGGUGGAGUGUUUGAAAACAGGUGGAUGUCCCUUCAAGAAUUCUCCUCUCUUGUCCCUAACAUGAGGAGGUGCAUUUCCAUUACCAUUUCCAUUGUUCUGCAUAUUUUGGGCCAGUUGCUGCAGCAGUUGUGUUUGCAUCAUCAUCAGUUGCUCCAUAGUAGGAGGUGGUGGUGGUGGUGGCACAUCCUCACCCCUCCUGUUCCUCCUAGUGUUGGCCAUCUGUACCAGAUGCAUAAUAUGAGUCUCAUAUGUCCAAGAUAUUUAAUUUUCAAGAGAUAUAACAUGUUGGAAUUAUCACCAUCUGAUCAAGUAUGGGAUUACAUAUGUUGUGAGUACGAUGUGGUAUGCAUUCUGCAUUUUUCUGCUGUUCUUACUAAAGCUACAGCGAAGUAAAACAAGCAUAACUUUCUUUCUGUUUAACAUCUCACUGCGAAAUUUAACUUUCUGGAAAGCUUGGAAAUUUUCCUACAACUUUCAUUCAGACCACUUCCUCAAUUUCUGGCGUUUACAUAGGUAAGAACAGGGAACAACUUUUACUGUUCUGAAGUUUUCUGACUGCGCAGAGAGGUCAGCUUGUGGAAAUUUUAUCUCUCAAACGGUAACAGAUAUUGAGGUGAUCCCAGAGCCAAAAGAAAGAUAUAGAAAUCUAUUUUAUUCCAUAAAGUUUUUGUAUUUUUAGUCCAUCCAGAACUCGAGAUAUACAAUUUUUAAAGCGGACUGCUCAGAGGGAAAAACAUGGGUAGACAGCAAGAUAUAAGUAAAACCCAACUAUUUAUUCAUAUUACCCUUAGACCUUAGCCCUAUUCUAAAUGACUGUGGACAGGCCCACAAUCAUUGAAAUCAUAACAAAAAUCCAACUCAUCCAUUAAGCAUUAUUACAAGCAUGCAUUCACGAAGUAGCAAUUGUUCAAUCAGUAGAAAAUAAGAACACGCUCUCGCAUCUCUAUGCGUGUUUAUUACAAAUGGGGAAACCUCCUAUGGGUCAAGGUUGGUGCCGGUGUUGGGGUCCUUGUGGUUCCUUAGGGGUGACUCCGCGAGGAUGAGUGGUACUUCUUCAACAUGAUUCCCCUACUGUUGCUUUAACAUGGAGUUCUCGACAGCCAACUCAAGGUAGGCCUUCCUCAGGGCAUCUAGCUCAUCUGAGACUCGAUCCAAGUCUGUGUUGGUUUGAGCCAAGCAUGCCAGGGUGGGUCGGAUCCUGGGAUUCCCUGCGACAAGUGGUGCAGCGAUGUUGCAGAUUGUCUGACCACUCCGCCGGCGGGGUAGAUAGCGAUCUUCUUCCCAUGCAAUGUCAGCAAAGUGGCGGUCGCGGUUCACCACCAAGGCCUGCCGGGCAGCGUCCCGGAUAGCUGCUGCGCGGGUAGUCCUGGCGGUGAUCGCACGGUGGAUGUGGCACACCCGACUUCCUUCUCGGAUGUAAGCUUUAGUCUCCCAGAAGCCGAUGUAGUCGGGGUGAGUCCAAUGCUCGGUGCGGUACUGCACAGUACACCGGGCAUGGAAACGACGUGCGAGAGUAAGAAGCUUCGGAUGGUAGUAGGCGUCACCAUGCAAGUCGAAAUGGAUCACCACUGUCCAUCCCUUUGCCAGAAGCGCAGCAUGGUGAUCUUGGCUAUCUCCAUCACCAUCUCCAUCAUCACCACCACUGCCAUGGUCGCUUGAGUCAGAGCUGUCAGAACUAUCUUCAUCAUCUGGAUCACCAGCUCCCUCUUGUUCAUCUUGCUCCAUGGGCUCCUCUUCGGUUUCCUCGUCCUCAACUGGUUCCUCUAUCAUGACUUCCUCCUCAGCAUCCUCAUCCAUGGGUACAUCCAUGGUUUGUUCCUCAUGUGGAUCCUCCUCCAUGUCCCUCAGCGCUUCAACCAGAUGCGGGGGAACACGCUUGCCUAGAGUGAACCUUGUCCUCUUGUUGGGCAUGAUGACACGUUUGCGAGCUGUCCACUUGGUACGGGCCAUCUAUAAGAAAAUGUAUGAGGAUUAGAAUAAAAUAAUUUUCUCAAUAGAUAUUAGGCAAGUUAUAAGCAUUAAUUUUAUAAGAAAAUAAUUAGUAAAAUAAGUGCUCAAGACCCUAAAAACGUCCAUUUCUAACUAGGCUGAUCGUCCUACAGUCAGGCUAAGCUUUGAUACCAAUUUGUCGCACCCAGUUUUGAUAACAAAACCAAGUACUUGAAUAUGUGCGCCCAGGAUGUCCAAACACACAUAUUAUCACAAAUUGUAAAUAUAUCAAAGUAAAGUACUUUAUUACAUCGCUUAUUCAACUUAAAUAUCUCACAAAGUCUUGCUCAUAGCAACAUUAUUACAUAAAACGGAAAGCUAAGCCAUUGUUGCCACAGGGACACCAACUGGUGAACACCAGCUCUCUAGAAGUCCUGGACAUCUUCAGGGAACUCCUCAGUACACACAUCUGUUACCCAUCCGGGAUUUUCAUUGAAAUAUGAACAAGUGUAAGCGCACCAUGCUUAGCAAGUAUAACAUAGGGGUAUAUGAAGGCUCAAAGGCUUGACUCGGUUUAACAGCAGUUAGCAUUUUAGUUGGUCAUAUAUUUUUUUUUACCAAGACUUACUACUUUUAGUGAAUGUCCAACCCUGGUUACAUAUGAAUUAAUCAAAGUUAUUAUAAUCCCCAAAUAUAACCAAGUAACCGCUAACCAAGAAGGAUCCAGGCCGCUCAUGACCGAGAGCUCGGCUGUUAUAACAGGUUUUAGAUUUCUGCAGAAAUUGUACAACUUUACCCCCGAGCCAUGGUUCCCUAGUGUCGGGGUUUGCAAGGCCCACACCACUUCUACCGAGGAAGUGUGACCGGGUCCCACUACGUAACCUUUCACUAGUCACCCUAACAAAAUAGUAGCCGCGAGGUUUCAGUGGCAAGUGUGCAUAGACGACCUCCUUCGAGAGGCACAUGUGGUCGCGGCACUGUACUCACCAAGGUAGGAGUGACAUCUAUACACCACGAGGCACCCCCCUCUAGCGCCUUUCGGUAACUACUAAAUUGCUAGAGACAUACUAGUUAUAUGAUUAAGGUCAGAGCCAUUUGACUCUCGGGAUUGUACGUGUCCUCCUGGGUGGCUGCUUCAGGAUUAAGUCCUUAUGGAGAGGAAUCUAGAGCUUUCAAACCCAAGCUCUAGCCCCCUGAACCAAGUUACUAGAACAUAUUUUAUCAUGUUGCAUACACCAAUUUAAUCAGAUUAAUUUAUUAACUUGAGUUUUGAGCAUAGCAAGCAACUACCUACAUAGAUGCACACCUUCCCAUGGGUAACAAGGAUUUGUGGUACAAAAUUUAUCUAGGUAAAGUCCUUAUAGGUAUUUCCAAUUUAGACACAUGCAUAUGUAUGAUUUAAGUAAUAUUCAUAGGUACAAGGAAGCCUAUAUUACACUUGCCUUCCUCAAAAGUUUCUUCCUGGUAGAGUUCCACAAACUGCUCCUCAACCACUCCAACCUGAUCUCCUUCUAUUCGUGAUCCAAACACCAAUCAAUCAUCCAUUCCAAUCAUCACAUGCAUACAAAUAGAGUUCUAUUAGAACAGUACACCAAAUAGUGAAAACAGUGACUGAAAAGUAUUUAAAUCUACUCUACGCAUUUCUACGAACACAUGAGCGAAAGAAUCACUCUAAUCGGAUUUAAAACAUGAAAGUUAUGCAUAAAACAAAAUGAAUGGCAUUUCUGUGAAUAAACUGAAUCCAAAAACGAAUUUAAAAGAAUUAAAACUGACUUUCUAACGGGUCUGGACCGCGCGCACUAUUAUUUAAAAGUACAGGGCUCAAAACGAAAGAAAACAGGAUUAAAAAGAAAUACUUUUGAACUGGAUUGGACCGCGGGUUGAUUUGCUUGAAACAGGGGGGUUAAACUGCAAAAACUUCAGCGGCCCGUGGCUGACCGCGUUGCUGACCGACAGGGGCCACGUGGCGUGCGGGGAUUGGCUCGGUCCACCACUGUGCGCGUGGACCGGCCGGCCGAGUGUCGUGGACCGCGCCCACGGGUCCACGGUGGACCGGUUACAUAACCCCGAAGGGGUAUGUAAUCUGGACCGUUGGGAUCUAAUCGGGCGGCUCAGGAAGGAGGGAGGCGGGGUGCUCGCCUGGUCGAGGCCGAGCACGGCGGCGCCAUUGUCGCCGACGAGGUGAGCUCCUCGGAGCUCACCGGAAACUCGUUCCCGGCCAUUCCAAACCAAACUAAAGCUACCGAAAUGAUCUACGCGACAAGGCGAACUCGAUAGAGCACAAAGAAGGGGCGGGGAGCACGUCGGGACGACGGCCCCGCGGUGGCGCCACUUCCGCGGCCUCGGCGAGCCUCGGGCUCGGUGGUCUAGCGCUCUAGUUCAAAAUUGAAAGCACGGGGAGUAUCGUAGAAGUACCGCGGUUCCGAUGGAGAUGCUCGCGGUGUCCGAAGGUGCUCCGAGCAGUGUGGCCACGAGCGCGGCGGUCUGGGGAAGAAAAGGGCGACGGUGAGCUCAAAUUCGUGGCAUACAAGAUCAAAACAAGGAUGAAAUCGAUGCCUACGGUCGCGACGAGUCUCAACCAAACUCCCGAGACGAUCUCCUGGCUCUGGGUCGCUCGAGCAAGGGGAAACCGAGGUGGGGGAUCGACUCUGAGCUCCGAUGGUGGCUAGGGCAGCAAGGGGGGGCUCGGCCUGGGGUUUUAUAGGGCGAGCAGGGGCAUUGAGGGAGCGCGCAUGCGGGCGUUAACUCCCGGCGUCAAGGCGGCUUGAUGGAGCCCCGAUUGAUGGCCUCCAUCAAUCGGCGUUUGAAGGGGGGAUGAAUGCCCCUAGCGGUGCUCCCGGCUCGGUGGAGUAGAAGGGGGGGAGACGCUGACGUGCGGACCCCACGGUGCAGCGAGAGAGAGGGGGAAGGGUGAGCGCCGACAGGCGGGACCCACCGCGCAGUGAGAGGGGGAGAGGGGGAGGGCGCGCGGGCUGACCGCGCGGAGUGGGCCGUGCCACUGGGCCGCGUGCGCGCGCGGAGCGGGCGAGGGGCGGGGUGCUGGGCCGCCACGGCCCAAGGCCAGGGGUGGGCGCGGGGGUUCAGGCCGGCCAGGGUUUGGGGGCUGGGCCAGAUUUGGGUGAAGAGAAAUAAAAAUAGGAGAAAACUCUUUUGUAUUUUCCAGAACUAUAUAUUUGUAUAGAUCCCUUUAAUUUGAUUUUUAAACCAAACAACCCAGUCUUACAAUCAAUCAAAAAUAUUAUGCACCAGCAUGAAUGCAGCAUUUCAUAUUUCUAAACCUUAUGGUUUAUUUUAAAUAAUUCCAAAAAUUGUUAUUUUGCCUAAAUAAUUCUCAGAUAAUUCAUAUAAUUGUGCCAAAUUGAAUACUAAUUCGAAAAUAAAUUUUUAGGGUGCUACAAACCCCACCGGGAUGUACUCGCGCGGCCUCUCCGACUUCCCCGUCUUCAGCACGAGAUUGAGGCAACCCGCCCGCACCGGUUUCCUCACGCCGGUGGUCCCAGUGGGGGCGUUGAAGAGCUCGCCCCUGUAGAGAUGGAGCCACAGCUCCCAGUGCGGCAUCAUCCCCAAGUAGCCCUCACACACGGCGGCAAAGACCGCCGCGACGGUGAUGGCGUUGGGGAGAAGUGCUGGAGCUCCACCCCGUAGUGGAAGCAGAGGGCCCGCAUGAAGCGACUCGGGGGAGCACCCAGGCCGUGGCGGUGGAACUUGGCAAACGACACCACGUAGCCCGCAGGCGGCUGGGGCUCCCUGUGACUCGCCGGCGGCGCGAUCCACUCCGGCGACGAUAGUGAGGUGCGGCGGCGCAGCAAUCCCUCUUUCUCAAGAUCUAGCAGCCGGCGCUCCAUCAUCGACGACGGGCGCCAGUCGUCGGCGGCGAUGAGUCUUACAGGCAUCUUGGCCGAAGAGGCGGUGGAUCCGCUGCUGCACGAGGAGGCGCGUGCGCGUAAGACGGCGAGAGAGCUAAGACAGCAAGGAGGCAAAGGCAACAAGAGAAUGGGAGUGAGAGGGCGGAAGGAAGAGGAACGGCGACGGCGCCACGACGUAUUUAUAGGCCGCAAUCCGCCAAUGGAUGGAUCCGAUAAAUGAGGUAACUCCCCCCAUAAAUGCGCCGUCUAACGGUCCUUUCCCUCCUCACAGGCCAGAUGCUCCGAAUUCCCCGCCGAUACGGUGUCGCAACGUCACUUACCUGAAAAGGCGCGCCCAACGGGCAGAAAGACGAACCGGCACGGCAGCUUCCUUGUUUCGUAAGCCAAGGUACGCGCCCACAACAGUCUCGAGAGGUCGAUGGCUGGCCCGUCGAAAGGGUUCGACAGCCGAUCUCGAGCACCAAGAGUCAGGGGUCCCCAGCGAGUGGUCAAAAAUCGAGGCAUGCCUCGAAAACUCGCUGGCGAUGUCCAAGGCAGGGUCGAGACAGUCGAGAGGAAUCCCCCCGACGGGAGGCAUCGAGCCGCUGGACUCUAUUGAAUGAGACCGGUAUCCCCGACCACGUCGACCCAGCUUUAUGAGAACGCCUCCGGGCUACAGCUGACCCCCUCGAAAGGGGCACAGCUUCUCACUUGGACUACCCGCUAGGAACUCGAUCUGGAGUGGAAGACGCUCGCUCUAUCGAGAGUACGUCGAAACCUCCACGCAAGGCAAAGCCGAUCAGAACCUUCCACCACUGGUGUCGACAGUGUCUCUGCAAAUUAGGCAAAAUAACCCUCAAGGGAGUUAAAUACUCCCUCGAGGGCUCGGGGGCUACCCCCGCGGGGUCGCUCGCGCGCCCCCGCGGAACCUCGACUGAAAAGACAAAAGUCUCCACUCGAGCGCCAGCGCUCGAAUGGAGACUCGGGGGCUACUGUCGAGGGUAUCAACAAGGGGUACCCUCACCGAUGCGAAUAACGAAACCAUCCGUACAUAAAACUAGCGCCUCGAUUCGACGCUCCGUCCGCACACACGCACGACCAUCGACGACCGUAGCCUCGAAGACGGAAAUAGCGUCGAGCGAAUCAAUCAGGCGUCGAGCUCUGGUCAACGUCGAAUACGGAACAGGCUCCCGCGAAUCGGGAGGCGUCGAGCGCAAGGACGCUGCCGCCGCCUAACGCGCGCACGCGGGCCGGGGCAUUAAAUGCGCCUGGUGCCUCCCCACCUAACACAUGGGUCACGGGGGGCGUGAUAGAGAACAGGCACCUGUCCCACCGAUCUUUUUGCAGCCUUCCCCACCAAACGGCCCAAGGCGUGUCAGGACGUGGGAAACAGAGACGGAGUGUCUAAUCAAGACCCCCUCGAGAUGGCCAAAGUCAGCGCUCCAACAUCAGGACGUCGUACGGCGUCCGACCCUCGACCAGAUAGAGAUCCAUCCAGGAGACAAGUCGGGCGUCGACUGACCACAUCCCAACUGCUCCGCCGGAUUUGCCGUCGGGUCGUACGAGUGUACAUCAGGCAAAUCAAUCCAGGACGGCGUGCAGAACAGAAUGCAAGGGCACGCGUAAUCAUCACCAGGCUAUUAAGACGGGACGACUCGAGGCCAUGCCGGUACGGAAGCCUCGAGUAGGUCAGCGCUCCAUACUGCUAUCGACUCCUAUUCUGACGCCUAUACAUGUACCCUGGGUCUCUCCUUGGGACUAUAAAAGGAGGGACCCAGGAAUAGAACGGAGGACGAGACCACGCUCAUAUGCAGUAGAGCUCCCCACUUCAUACCACGCUUGUAUUCACCCCUGUACGAGCACUUAGGUGCAAGAUAAUACAAACUCUCUCCCCCCCGCUGGACGUAGGGCCUUCUCUUGCCCGAACCAGGAUAAAUCUCUGUGUCUUCUUGCAUCACCAUCCGGGAAAGGGAGCACGCAUACAAAUUUACUCGUUGGUGUGACCCCCCGGGGGAAAAACACCGACAGUUGUGGUAGCCUUAGGGUAGUGACAGCCCUAACGGUCGACGUAUUCCACCUCGUUCGGAUAGGUGUUUGUAGGACCGUAGUCGGAGCUUCCUAGCCCCCUUCUCAUCUCUUUCUGUGGUUAGUGUUCUGAUGUCCCGAAAUAGAUAAUCUUGAAGUAAUUCUUGAUUAUUAGAUCAACUAAAGAACUCUCAGGAAACUUCCUCUCUUCCCACCAAAAAUAAUUAUAUAGUUAUCCUUGGGCAAUCUUGGAUCUUAAUUAGUACACUCACGUUCCCUGUGAAAAAUUGAUACUCUGGAAUACUCUCGGGUGAAGGCUACAUCGGUAUCCGUGCGCUUGCGGAAUUUUCUGUUUGCGUUUAAAAUACCCAACAAGCUUUCUAGCACCGUUGCCGGGGAACGGUAGCUGUGCUAGUUUCGAACCAAGUCGUCCGUGUAUCCUUUUUCUUUUCCUUUUUUACCACACUCACCUUAUCACUUUCACCAUACCACAUGGAUUUCACUCUAAGCAUUAAUGAGCAUGGAAUUUAUUUCAUAGCCACUUCACUUACUCCAUGCUCAUAUGCAACAUCUUCACAAUCCAUUGGUCUCUCCAACAUCACCACAUUCGAUACUCUGGAAUACUCUCGGGUGAAGGCUACAUCGAUAUCCGUGCACUUGUGGAUUUUUCUGUUUGCGUUUAAAAUACCCAACACUAUUGUAGCGUCAGCUGAUGAGGUUUUGUCACUAGGGGCUUGGUCUUCCUCAGGUAAUGUGGACAUGCCAACUCAUCAUAUGAUGGAACAUGAUGAGCAUUCACCAUGCAAAACAAGUGAACAUAAACAUUUUACACCUACAUGAUGUUCUGCCAAAAGGAAACAAGAGCAGGUGAAUUUGUUCCAAACUAAACUUGAGAUUGAAAUAUUUAAGGAUGUUAUACUACCUAAGUGUUGUACCUUGAUUGUACUCAGGUAUACAGAAGAAAAGAAGGAUGAAUCAGACCCUAAAGACGGACUAGCAAAUCGGAUCACUAGAGUUAAGAACGGACCGCUGCAAGUCCCUGACAGACUAGCAAAACGGACCAGUAGAGUCAAGAACGGACUAGUGCAAAGAAAUCUUCAGAACCUUUUACUCACAAAUGCUUGAGAAAAUUUCUAACAUAACAUCUUUGAGUUCAUUGAAUACUACUCAUAGCUUCCAGUUUACAUUUGUUUUGAUUGGAGAACAUAUUGUAGAUACCUUCUAGGUUCAUGCCAUUUGUGUAACAUAUAACAAGCUUGCUGAUUUAGACUCAAAAAUGUUGUGAGAUAAACAAAGUGAGAAAUCCUUUGAGAUGCAACAAACGCUUGGUGCUUAUGGUUUCGAUCAAUUCAUAUUGUCAGCAUGUUCGUACCAUCCACUUAAAGUUAGAAAUCUUGUGCAAAGCAAAGCCUAUACACCGAAAAGUUAUUCAUCCACACCUUGGAGCAUUGAGUUUAAAAAUUAUACUUCUAAACCCUUGAAUAAAUUUUGCUGCCACAAUAAUUUUUGGAAUGACAUUAGUUCUCAACAUCCAUUUGAUGAAAAGUUUGAUCUUCUAAAGAUAAAACAUGAUAACAUGAAUCAAAUGAUUGGAUUGGAAGAAAUUUUUGUGCUUCCCUCCUCUAAAAUGUUUGCAGGUUCACCAAAGUUGAGAGAAUGUUUCUUACAUGGAAAAGAAAAUAAUGCAAAAAUAAUUCAUAAUGGAACAAAUGAACAGAACAAAAGGAAUGAUUAUUGGAAUUAUCAAGUACAUCCACCCUCUAUUUUGUCUAAGCUGUUUUCAGGUAAACAAAAGUCGUGGAUGACUUUUCUUAAAGGGAGGGAGGAUGAUGAGACCAUACCAAGGCAAUCAACAUUCAAGCAUCCACUAAAGGUGAAAGCUAAACUUAAUUCCAAAUCAUUUAGGUUUCCACAUACAAGGCUACUACUUGGUUUAUAUGAUUAUAGAUUCAAACAACUUGCUAUCAUGGAACAAGAGGAUUGCGAUGUUAUCACAACAUUACAAACCGAUGGCCUAGCACAACUCUUUGGAUCAGAAGAGUUAGAGUCGAGGACGACUCCUUUUCAAGAGGGGGAGGAUAAUGAGGACAUGCUAACUCAUCAUAUGAUGGAACAUGAUGAGCAUUCACCAUGCAAAAUAAGUGAACAGAAACAUUAUACACCUACACAAUGUUCUACCAAAAGGAAACAAGAGCAGGUGAAUUUGUUCCAAACUAAACUUGAGAUUGAAAUAUUUAAGGAUGUUAUACUACCUAAGUGUUGUACCUUGAUUGUACUUAGGUAUAUAGAAGAAGAGAAUGAUGAAUCAGACGCUGAAGACGGACUAGCAAAUCGGAUCACUAGAGUGAAGAACGGACCAGUGCAAGUCCCUGACAGACUAGCAAAACGGACCAGUAGAGUCAAGAACGGACUAGUGCAAAGAAUUCUUCAGAACCUUUUACUCACCAAUGCUAUGAAGGUCCAUGAGGACUUGUUGGAAAGCUUGUCGUGUCUGCUUUCCAAUACCUUAAGUCUCAUCUCAUUUGGACAUCGCAAUCAAGAGUUAUGCUUGGAUUAGUCAAGACUGCUCAGAAGGUCAACACUCUGUCGUGACAGAAUGUUGGUACAACUUGCCAUGUAAAACUGUACCAAUCUACAACGUUUCGUGGUGCAUGAUAUACAUUGCUGGAAAGCUCUUAGAGUCUAGUUUCACAUGCAAGAAAGGGUUUGUCAUUUCGACUUCCCAAUAAGGAGUUAUGGUUAGUUUAUUUGAAACUACUCUGGAGGCCAACAGUCACGCGAAGCCAGUUCGGGAAUCGAUUCCGAGGGGACCUUUCACAUUGCCUUCCCUUAGAAACUCUAUUUCGUUUUCAUACCUAUCUAGGAGGGUUGUUCCUAGUAUAAAUAUCCCCUACCUCUAAGCUAUUAGAAACCUUUGAUCAUUUUGAUAAACUACAUGAUAUUGCAGCCGCGCUGCUGAGUGCCUUACUCAACCUUUGUUCUUUCUUGUUCUUCUUGGACUUGUGAAGAGAAUCCUCUGGGUUCCCCAACUUCAUGCUCUAUGGCUUCCAUUCGGAGAUCAGAGAAUCCUCUGGGUUCCCCUAUUGUGUGGAUUAGUUCCGGAUUGUGGUUCUGAAGUCGUUCGGAGAUCGAGUCGAAGUCUUCACGGUUUCGGUGCCUCUCUCCCCGUCGCUUGGUCGCAUCCCACCGUUGUCAGGUAUAAAGCUCGUUAUCCGUUGUUUGCAGCAAGUUAUCCUUGUUCUUUUGAUCUACUGUCGUGAAGAUCGGGCCACCCUUGUACCGAUUCAUAUCGGUACCCUAUCAUUAGGGGCAUCACUAUGGUCAUCAGUGUAGGGGGUGUUGUCUAGUAUGGUUGCUAGGACCACCAUACAUUCAUUAAUGGUUAAAUGAAGGAAUGCUCCCUUCAAGGCUAGAUCAAGGAAUUGUGCGGAACUUUGCCUAAGACCAAGAUAGAAAUGUUGCAUUAGUGUUGGCUCGGUUAUUGCUAAGUCUGGGCGAGGACGCUAAGUGUGUGAUUUGCGCCCAAGCCGCACCUAGAGAUUCCAUCUCUUCUUGCUUGACGUUUAGGAUCUCUCUAUGGAGACGAGCCAUAAGGGAAAUGGGGAAGUAGGUAAGGCAAAACUUGGCUUGCAGCUUCUCCCAUUCUCCAUCUACACUACCUACAUAGCGAGAGUACCACCAUCUGGCUUUUCCCGUCAAAGAGAACGGGAAGAGCUUCCACUUAAGGGUAACUCGCCUCAUCCUUUGGAUGUGAAUGCACGAGCAAAGCUGCUCGAAAUCACAUAGGUGGGCAUAGGGAUUUUCAUCUCCUUCUCCUGAAAAGGGAUUCUCCUAAACCAUCGCUAUGAGACUUGGGCGAAGCUCAUAACGAACGGCCAAAACAGCCUGAGAAGAACUAGGCGGGUCCAGCUCAGCGCCUGAUGGAGCAACGUAGUCAAAUAGGGUUGUUUGAUCCAUGGGAUAGGUAAAGGUUCUAAUCAAACAAGGAUAACUUGACGACUUUGAGUCUAGUUAACCAGCUACCAUUCCCCAGCAACGGCGCCAGAAAUGCUUGUUGACUCUUCUUAGCGUCACUACCUAGGAUUGUCAGUCCUUGGCACAACACUAAAAAUGCUUGUGUGACACCAGAAGUGGCAAAUGGUUUUACCGCAAGCGGACGGUGGUCAAUGCAGCACUUCACCAGGAGUAUUCCAGGUAUCGUAUUUUCCACGGGGAAUGAGAAGUGGAUUAACUAGACCAAUUAAGUCGUCGGAUGAUGAUCAAAGGUCUUAGGAUUGGUUGGAGAGGUAUUUCUAGUAUUUGGCUUUUGGCUAAGCUUUCCUAAGUAUACUGAGAGUUAACUCCCUUCCUACUAUGGCCGAUAGGUGAAAAUGGUGUGGCGAAACACUUCCCUCGGCAGCUACCAUGUAGGCCAACUAUUAUUUGCAACUUGCCUAACAAUACACUAAAGAGAACUCCUAAUGUCCAGCAGAGGCAUGUCACGCUUUGCUGCUGGCGUUCUUCAAGUGCGACAAGAAGUCCACAAGGGCAGACUUAGUCUAGACACCACAUCUAGACUAAUUCUACUACUCUAGACCCAGCUAAGGUUUCGAGCACUUCACACAAGGCAAAGCAAUGUGCCAGUAGGCCAGUUGUAUACUUAAAAUAAACUAAGACACAAAGUAAAUAUUGGAAGUACUUAGAUGAAAGGCAACUAGAAGGAAGACUUACCAGAAGACAAGCAUCUGCUGAGGCGCUCCUGGAAGAAGACUCCCGAUAUUCCGGGACUCCUCCUCGGGGAACUCCUCACUCUCUUCCCUCUAUUCUUACACUUAGCUAAGAGUAGCUCUUCCUAAGAUACAUCAUGCUUAACUAGGCUAUCUAAGAGGGUAUUUAUAGGGGAGAGAUGGAGUAGGGGCUACUCUAGCGCUGUUGGGUAUUUUAAACGCAAACAGAAAAAUCCGCAAGCGCACGGAUACCGAUGUAGCUUUCACCCGGGAGUAUUCCAGAGUAUCGAUUUUCCACAGGGAACGUGAGUGUACUAAUUAAGAUUCAAGAUCGCCCAAGGAUAACUAUAUAAUUAUUUUUGGUGGGAAGAGAGGAAGUUUGCUCAGAGUUCUCUAGUUGAUCUAAGAAUCAAGAAUUACUUCAAAGAUUAUUUAUUUCGGGACAUCAGAACACUAACCAUAGAAAGAGAUGAGAAGGGGGCUAGGAAGUUCUGACUACGGUCCUACAAACACCGAUCCGAACGAGGUGGAAUACAUCGACCGUUAGGGCUGUCACUACCCUAGGGCUACCACAACAAUCCACAGGAUUGGGUGCAAUUCCAAGUAAUUGCAAGACUAAACACCACGUCUAAUCUAUUAAUUACUACUCUAGCAUUUCAAAGACUAGAGCACUUUAUGCAAGUGGGAAUCCAAUAAAUAACUUGAAUGUAAAUAAUAGUAAUUAAAGAACUCAGGAAUUAUGAAUGAAGAACUUGGAGAACGAUGAAGAACGAAACAGUUGAUGCAAAAGUACAAUGUUGAGGAAGAUCCGACAGAUCCGGCUCCUCCUCCGCUAUCCUCUUCUCUCUCCCUAUUUUCUAUAUUACAACUAGAACUGACUAGAACUAGAACUAGAUGAACUAGAACUAGAACUAGAUGAACUAGAGGGAUCCUCUCUACUUGGAUGAAUAAUUGAAACCCUAGCUUUGAUUUUGUAGAAGAGAUAUGUCCUCCCUGGGCCAGGGGGCCUGCUUAUAUAGCCCUUCUAAAUGAACGUGGGCCGUCGGAUCAAACCGACCUUAAUCGCACGGUUUUCCUUGAUCCUCAAAGGCGGUGGAGCACAAUCCGCGAGACAGAGCCUGAUUGGCUGAGACUGCAGGGCGGGCGCCCAUGGGGGGAGGGCGGGCGCCCUGCCCCCGGGCCCGCUCGGCCUCCCGUUCGUUCCCGUGGCUUCUGGAGUCUUCUAGAUGAUAGAAAAUUGGCGCACACGUUAAUAUCUCUAUGUAAACCCGACGUGUGGGCCUUUCCUCAAUAUUUCCUGAUAACCCCCUGCAGAAAUAGACAAACACCAAAACUCGUGGAAUUCUGUCAGAUGAAACCCUAAGUUUGGAUGUUGGUUGCAUAUACGUCCUUUUCCAUGAUUAGUUGAUGGUUAAAUGUGAGCAUUAAGGACCGUCAACAAGCUCCCCCAAGCUUAACCUUUGCUCGUCCCUAAGCAAAGCUAAAAUCAGCAAGAAAACAGGUGUUACAUUUAUGCCUCUUCCUACAGGGUUUUUAAGUUAUCACUAAGGUCUUAAGUGAUUGAAAAACAGAACGAUCAAGUCAAGCACUAUGUCUCAAGUUCUUCUGUCUUACCUUUGUUCUGGAGUUUUUUUGUAAGUUUCCAAAAUAAAACUGAGGCAUUUGCCUUCUUCUCGAAAGAUAUAUAAGUAGAGCUUUAAAGGUUUUAGUAUACUUACUUUGCAUUUUGCUCUGCCAUUGCUCGGAGCAAGGGAGAGGAAUGUCAUACUCCUAGAUCAAGACCUUUGACAUUUUUGAAAAAUUUGUCAUCUCUUACUGGCAUAUUGCUUAUUAGAGGGACCAUGGGCUAUAAUUUUUUUCAUUCUUUUUUUCAGUCUCUCUCUUUUUUUUUUAUUUUUUUCUUCAAGUGGGCACCAAGUACCCCUAAUUCUACUAUCGGACACGUGUCCAUUUUUUCCACUCAGGUGGGUAUCUUUGUACCCCUAAUUCUACUUUGGACAUGUCAGAAAACCGACCAAAUUAUAAGAGUUCAAGUGUAGAAAUGAUCGACUCGCAAUCAAGUUUCCAAACUUGAGCCCAUAUAAUCCUGGUAGUCAACUGAAAUCACGAAGGACUUCAAACCAACUUGCAACAAAACAAGAUCGUAAUAGUUCAACAUAACACAGUGAGUGUUACAUAGUCAUUCAUCGCCGUCGAAGCGGCACCACAUCGGAGUCACUUAGUUCUUACAACACAUGUUUGUAGUAGCGGAAGCAAAAUAGUUACACACACUUUCCAAAGUUCAUUUCACAAGUUCUUGUUCAACCAGGGUCUCAUGCCAUCCCUCAAAAAGCAACAGGUACGAAGUAGUUAGAGAACCGUGCACAAAGGUUUAGUCCUCAUCCCCAGCGGGAUGGAGACAGGUCUUGCAGAAGCCAUCAUAAAAGAUAUCAUUUGCAACAGGUGGGAAUAAACCCUAAGUACGAGGAUGUACUCAGCUAGACUUACCCGUCUAGUAAAACAUAAAAGACUCCAAGGAUCAUGCAAGGCUAAGUGUAGAGUGGAGCUAGCUUGACUUAACAGUUGCCAAAAAGCUUAACUAGUAACUAUUUUAAAGUAAAAGUAUCAUAUUAAUCAUCAUUAGCCUACCACUAGAUUAGCACCUGUACUAAAACACAUCACUUGAUUAUUACAAACAAUAAUAACCAUAUCAAGUUCAUCAUAUGCUCUUUCUUGCUAUCAUCAUCAUCACGAACCAAGUUCAUUAGUGAAUGCUACGUUUGCUGCUGCUCUGUCAAGUUCUCACUAUCCGGAAGAGACGGCGAUUUGAAUUGAUUCCUAUCCAGCUGGAGGGUUACUCCUAGCACUCACCCAAGCAUCCCCCGUCGGAGAGCCAACGGGUCACCUUUGGUACGACUCAGAAAUCGCGGCUCCGAUCAGCGCCGCACUCCCAGGGCUACCACUCUGCCAGGGAGGUCAGGAAUUUUAACUCACUUGCCUUUGGUCUUAGGCCAAUGGUCCCCCACACACCGCACUUCCUCCGGUAGUGCGCACUUUAUACUUGCCGGUCUUCCGGCCUGAGUCAUACUACUAGGCUUUGCGGUCGCAACGAGUUAUCCGGCCAACUAAGUGUUAGGCUUGCGUUCAACAUGACAAAAGGACGUACAACGGUCGGUCCUUAGCUGCCACAGACGGAGUUACUACAACCUUGCAAAACUCCGCCUGGCUUAAAUCAAUUUAAUCAGGUUCCAUCCACGAUAGCACAUAUAGUCAAUCGUGAUCUGACACAACCCUAUCUCGCGCAGGUGACAGGAUAUCACCCGACUUCUACCGAUUAAAGCAUGACUAAGCCACUACUCGAUCCUAACUCUACAACUAGGUAGUGUAAGAUAUCUGGACAAGGAUUGAGUAAAAUGCAGCAAAGGUUUCAUCACAACUCCUAUACAUAAAUGCAUCAAUAGAUAUAACAUACUCAAAUAAGCUUUCGAAAGUAAAGUGAGAGACUUAAGAUGCUCCGGAGCUUGCCUUUCAUGAACGAGGCCGGCUCGUGAUUCAGGCACUCAACUUCCUCUUCGGGCUCCUCGUGUCUGGCUUGCUGGACCUCCACCUCCGGACUGAUCUCCUGACCUUCGUGAACCACUUGGAGCUCGAACGCAGUCGUUGUUUCCGGUGCACCUAUUGCAUGCAUAAAGAAUAAGAAAUGUGUGCAUACUAGAUGAGGAUGAAUGCUUGCCAAUGCAAUGAGAACUUCACUGGACACUCAUUUACUGAGUAACUUCUAAGAUAAACUCACAAAGGAUAACCAAUUAACUUAGCAAAACUUAGCGAGUCAAACUAUAAACAGCAAGCAUCACAUAACAGAACAGCUCAGUAAACAGGUCAUAACUAUUGCUAUAAAGAUCCCAUACACAUAAAUGAGGACAUUCUGGAAAGCUUAUGAAAUUGUCUACAAUUCAUCUUAAAACAUCACAGCAAGAUUCAAAAGUUAAACAAGUCAUUUAACAAAGUUCCAGGUUCUGCCCCAGGAAAACAGAGAACACCUAUUUCUGGAACCCAACUUGGAAAAGCUAUAACUUUCAAAUUAUUGGACCAAAUGAUCCCAAAAUUAAUCCACAGCUAGAUCAUACAGUUUACAACAACUUUGAUUUAGACAAGUCUUCCAGCAAACCAAGUUAUCAACAAGUAAAGGUUAGAUUACCCCCUUGCUGUCCAGGACAGCUCUUAACCCUCUAAUUAAUUAUUUGAUGACAUAACCAAAACAUAUCUAGCACCAGCCAAAUAGCUUACAAGCACAAGCAUAUCAGAAGACAAACAGAACAUCAUAUGUUAACCUUGAAAUGUUUAAUAACAAGGCAUUUAUCAAUUUAAUUCUGUAAAAGAGCAUUAAUACAAGAUACAAGCAAAAGCACUCAGAAAAAUCCACAAAAAUUACAGAAGCAUAAGUAUAGCAUCUAAACAUUACCAUAAAAUUUUCAGAGCAAUUGCACAUGCCAAAAUUAAGAUAAGCAUUUAACAUGUGACAAGGUGUUUAUUUCAUAAAUUCAGAAACAUGGCUUAUAUAGUGUCAAACAACAGAUUUUAGAUUAUUUACAUGCUAUUAAUACCAUAAACCAGUUUGACACCAAAGUAGAGCACCAGCAUAAACACCAAUUAUUUAUUAUGAUUUAAAUAAGAAAACAAGCCAUAUCUCAAUCAUAAAUUACAUAUCACAGAUGCAGUACUCCAAAAAUCAUGAAAUAUUUAUCACAGCAUUCUCAUACCACACAAAGACUACCAUCAACAUUUCAUAGAAAAAGGAGCAGUAAAAUAAAAGUUAUGAAUUUACUCAUGAAUAACAAGAUUAAAUCCUAAUAAUUAUUUUUCCCAGAAAACAUGGUCCAUUUUAUAUUUUUAAUAAAAACUAGCCAUCUCAAAGAAUCUCACAAACUUGGUUUCACAAUUUUUGGAUCUCAGAAACUGGAGAUAUGAUUUUUGCAAAGAAGCCAAAAAUCUGGAUUUGAAUAAAAGAAAAGGAGGGAAACUAAGUGUCACUGACAGCGGACCCCACGCGUCAGGUUCUUCUUCCUCAUGACCGAGACGACAUUCCCCGGCGAUUUCUCCGCGACGGUGAGGUCUCCGGUCAAACCAAGGGCACCAACGUGAUCCCCAGACCAUUGCGAACCGGUUGACCCCCUUUUCCCCACGGCGGAGCCACCGGAAGGGCCUCGCCGUCGAUCAUGGCGGCUCGGCGGAGGUGCUCGGCGUUACACCGGAGCUCUCAGGCCGGUAGAGCGUGACCUAGGGUUUCCUACAGCACCAGCAGACUACGGCGAAGCUUCCUAGGUAGGCGACUUGGCUUGAAACGGCGUGGAAUGAGCUGGCCACGAGAGAGCCCAACUCCGGCGGAAACACGGCGGCGCUGCGCGUCGUGUCCGGCGACAGUGAGCGCGGUAGAGCGUCCACAAAGUGGCGCAAACGCUUGAUAAUAAGGACCUAAGCUACCUCUAGAACCUAACCAGAGAAGACGAGAGGCUCCGAGGAGCUCGGCAUUGAGUUCGCCGGAGAAGAAGGUCACGGCGACCCAAUUUGGGGGAAAGCGGAAAUGUCGGCUCACCGGAGGGUUUCACGGCGAGAUAGCGGGUGGAGAGUGGAGAGCGGUUCACGGCGGAGCUGUGAGCGAGGUUUGGUGGACAGCAACGCAGCGAGGAGCGCGUACGAGCUCGCCGGAGUGAGCUCGCGACGGUGAGCUUGCUGCGGCCGCGUUUCUGGCGAGAGAGAGCGAGGCAGAAGGAAAUGGACGCGUCCACUUCGCCCGGGGUCUCGCCGUGGAGGUCAUGCGCGUGCUGGGAGCUGACGACCGGGGCCAAGAGCGAUGUACGGGCGCCAAAUGUCGACGGAGCUCUGUCACCGGUCGGCCACGUCGACGAGCUCGGCCUCGAUUCAGUUAAGGUGAUAACUGUGUGACAGAGCGACUUUGACGGUGAUUAACUCCCAAACCAAAGCAAGUUAGGAGAUGGUGUAGUUGACAAAGUUGGAGAACUAGCUGAGUUCUACAACAUUGUCAACUGGAGCAAGAGCCAGAUCGGCCUAGUUUGAAAGAUAUGAAGUUUUGAAAAUCGAUCAAGCAAACUGCUGCGUCCCCGGACUUCGAAAAAUUUUCUAAGUGUUGGAAACAGCCCCAAAUCUGCCUUGUGGGUCACUUUUGAGCUAGAUGUUUUCAUUUUCAUGAGAUGGACAUAAAACAACUUUUGUUCCUUAUAAAAUUUUCUACAACUUUGAUGAAGAAAGUUUUGACAUGCAAACAUUUUAUGAAACACUUUUUAAAAGCCUAAGCAAAAGAGGUUUCUAGGGCUUAUACAAGGAAGGAUGACUUAAGUGAUUAUUUUGGAUAAGUGAUCCACAUGAACAUUGUUCCUAAGGUUGAAUUAAGCAUAGAUAAACUAUUUAGCAAGGCAUAGAACACAAGCAUGAGCAUGGUUCACACAACAUAAGCAUAGGAAGCAUGAUUAAACAAGUUAGAGCACACUUAAGCAUAAAAUGACAUGGCUCAAGGUAGAUGAUGAUCAUGAUAUGCUUGAGUAGAUGAUAAUGCUCAUGUUAUGCAUGUGAUUGAUGCAACCAUAACACUGGGGUGUUACAGGACACUUGUCCAUUUUUACCUCUUGUCUCACUCUUUUUUUCGAAUCAAAUUUUUGCAUAGUCCCAUGCCUCUAAUGCAAUAAUACUUCGGAAGAGUGAAUCUUUUAUAUUUUUAAAACAAAAAGAUCUUGAUCUUUGGAGCAUGAUAAUUCUCUCAACCAAAACUACAAGAAUUAACAAUGCCUUGAACAAAGCAAGUGCCCAUAGUUUUAAUAUUUAUAUCUUAUAAGACUCUAGGUAUUAUGUCAAACAUGAUCUCUUUUUUUGAAUAUUUAGAUUUUAAAAAGAUAAAAUCUCCAGAACUCUAGUGAAACUUGGAACAAGUUAAAUAGUAGCUCAGACCUUCUCAUAUCAUGUUUGUCAAUUACCUAGACUUGGAUCAAACUUUCUUUUUAACUUAUUUAAAACUUAGGAUUACACAAAACUAUUGUAUAUUACUCAAAAGAAAAACUUUGUUUGGUUUUAUGGUUAUGCAUUUUUUUUAUUUAUUUCCGAAUACUAGUAAAUAAAACCAAGAAAGAAAAGUAAUACUUAUCUAGAUACAGUGGGGGUGCCUCCCCCAAGCUAGAUGUUGACAUAGUCGUUCACUCUUGUGGACUGCUUGUUCGGUCUCACUCUUCUUAAGCCUCAAAAUCCUGCACAACCCAAAUAGACAACAAAACUCAUGGUGUUUGUACUACCACGGGCGUCUCAACUUGUUCUGCUACGUUAGCAUCGCUCGUAGAGUCAUUCCCAACUGGUUCAUCUUGAACUUCAUCAAGAUAAACAUUUUGUCCAUUUGUCUCCCUUUUGAGAAACUCUUUCUCUAAGAAAACACUGUUUCGAGUAACAAACUCUUUGCCCUCUGUCCGGUUAUAGACAUAAUACCCUAAAGUUUCCUUUGGGUAUCCCACGAAAAAGCACUUGUCUGAUUUGAGUGUUAGUUUAUCUGAUAUAAGUCGUUUGACAUAAACUUCACACCCCCAAAUUUUCAGAAAAGACAAACUGGGACACUUACCGGUCCACAUCUCAUAUGGUGUCUUAACUACAGACUUAGACGGUACCCUGUUUAAAGUGAAAGCGGCUGUUUCUAGAGCGUAUCCCCAAAAUUGUAAUGGUAGGUUUGACUAGCUCAUCAUAGAUCGAACCAUGUCCAACAAAGUUCGAUUACGUCGCUCGGACACACCGUUCCUCUAAGGCGUUCCAGGUGGCGUAAGUUGUGGAACGAUUCCACAACUCUUUACACUGCUGCAUGUUGGGGCAUUAGCACCGGUCGGGAAGGGCCUGUUGCCCCAGUUCCCGAGCCGGUGGUGCCCUUCCAGGACUAAAGGCCCACCUUUAGUCCCGGUCCAGGGAACCAGGGCUAAAGCCCCCCCUUUAACACUGGUUGGUAAUACCAACCGGUUUUAAAGGGUCCUGCCAGGGUUGCCACGUUGCAGGACCCUUUAAAACUGGUUGGUAUUACCAACCGGUGUUAAAGGGUUUUUUUUUUUUGGUUCACUUCUUCGGUUCUGUUUAUUGUUUUUAUAUAAUAAUAAUAAUAGGUUUUUCAAUACAUAUUUUUUGCUGAUACAAUAAUAUAUUUAUAUUACACGCAUAUUAAGCAUAUAUAAAUGAAAAUUAUAGGCUUAGCUUUAUAAUUAAGCUUUGCCUAUAAUAAAAUGAAUAGGCCACAUAAAAAAUUAAAUAGAUACGUAAAAAACUUUAUAUAUAGUUUUAUAAGUACAAAAUUUGUAACACAUAUAUACAUAGAGUUUUUUCUCCCAAUGUCUAAAACCGAUAUAAAUGAUCAUCGUUGUUUCGAAUAAGAGUUUCGGUGCUAUUGAAGUGAAACUCGCCGUUUGGAUUGAUCACUUGCUCGUGGAGAAAUCCUGCUAUCGUCUCUUGGAUAGCUUUGAUUCGGUCUUUUUGCAUGACCUUUUCCCUCAACCAUUCCGUCUGUAAUUUGAAAUAAAUAAAAAGGUAUUAGUUAUCUAAGUUAUUCAAUAUAAUUCAGGAGAUAAUGAAAAGAGACUGUUGACGGUCUUUAAUGCUCAUAUUUAACAAUCAAUCAAUCAUGGAAAAGGAUCCAAAUGCAACCAACACCUAGACUUAGGGUUUUAUCUGACAGAAUUCCACGAGUUUUGGUGUUUGUCUAUUUCUGCAGGGGGUUAUCAGGAAAUACGGAGAAAAUGCCCACACGUCGGGUUUACAUAGAGAUAUUAACAUGCUACGCAAUUUUCUAUCAUCUAGAAGACUCUAGAAGCCACGAGACCGAAGCGGAGGCCGAGAGGGCUCAGGGACAGGGCGCCCGCCCUAGUCCUAAGGGCGCCCGCCCACCUGUGUUGCCCAAGCAGAGUCCAAUUCAGGGAUUACGCUCCACCGACCUAAAGGAUCAACAAUAACUGUUCAAUCAAUGUCGGUUUGAUCCAACGGCCCAGAUUCAUCUGAAAAGACUAUAUAAGCAAGGCCCCCGGCCCCUGGAGAUCAUACCUCUUCUACAGAAUCAAAGUUAGGGUUUCAAUUCUUCAUCCAAGUUGAGAGGAUCCCUCUAGUUCUUCUAGUUCUACCUCUAGUUCAUCUAGAUCUAGUUCUAGUUCAUCUAGUUCUAGUUCUAGUUCCUCUAGUUCUAGUUCUAGUUAGUUCUAGUAGUAAUCUAGAAAAUAGGGAGAGAGAAGAGGAGAGCGGAGGAGGAGGAGCCGGAUCUGUCGGAUCUUCCUCAACAUUGUACUUUUGCAGCAACUGGUUCGUUCUUCAUCAUUCUCCAGGUUCUUCAAUUCAUAAUUCCUGAGUUCUUUAAUUACUUUUAUUUACAUUCAAGUUAUUUAUUGGAUUCCCGCUUGCAUCAAGUGCUCUAAACUUUGAAACAUUAGAGUAGUAAUUAAUAGAUUAGACGUGGUGUUUAGUCUUGCAAUUACCUGGAAUUGCACCCAAUCGUGCGGAUUGUUGUGGUAGCCCUAGGGUAGUGACAGCCCUAACGGUCGACGUAUUCCACCUCGUUCGGAUCGGUGUUUGUAGGACCGUAGUCAGACCUUCCUAGCCCCCUUCUCAUCUCUUUUUGUGGUUAGUGCUCUGAUGUCCCGAUAUAGAUAAUCUUGAAGUAAUUCUUGAUUCUUAGAUCAACUAGAGAACUCUCAGGAAACUUCCUCUCUUCCCACCAAAAAAAUAAUUAUAUAGUUAUCCUUGGGCGAUUUUGGAUCUUAAUUAGUACACUCACGUUCUCUGUGGAAAAUCGAUACUCUGGAAUACUCCUGGGUGAAAGCUACAUCGGUAUCCGUGCGCUUGCGGAUUUUUCUGUUUGCGUUUAAAAUACCCAACAAGCUUUCUGGCGCCGUUGCCGGGGAACGGUAGAUGUGCUAGUUUCGAACCAAGUCGUCUGUGUAUCCUUUUUCUUUUCCUUUUUCACCACACUCACCUUAUCAUUUUCACCAUACCACAUGUAUUUCACUCUUAGCAUUAAUGAGCAUGGAAUUUCUUUCAUAGCCACUUCAUUUACUCCAUGCUCAUAUGCAACAUCUUCCAAUCCAUUGGUCUCUCCAACAUCACCACAUUCGAGAUCCCCAACCCCCUCUUCCUUUCUAUUUAUAAAAACUUUAAAAGGGCGGUUGUCGAUGCAUAUGUUUAUAAUAAAUAUUGCAGAUCUCGUUGAGUUGAUCUUGAUAUAGGUCAGUGUUGGAGGGGAAACCACCUCGCCGACAUAAAUUGAUGGUUUCCCAAGGACAAGCUUAGUGUCCUAAAACAUGCACUGAUCAGAUUGUAACAUGAGCUUUUAAUUAUUUGCAACAUUACCUUGUGUGUUGAGCAUAUAAGGAUAAUUGUAAAAUAAAUUCCUUCGGGUAUUAUUGUCACUAACCUUUCCAGGAUUGGAGCAAGAAGAUCGGAUGAAUGACAAGCACAAGGUAUGUCCAACCAAUCAUCAUACAACAUUGAAUUAAAUUCAUUCAAACUUGAAUUUUACAAAAUUCAAGCUUGGGGGAGUACUUUACAUAAAAACAUCCUUUGCCAUGUUGCUAUGUUGGUUGUCCCUACCUUUGAGACAUGCUCAAUUUUUUUAAAUACUAAUCACACUACUUCAUCUCCACUUGAGUAGAUCUCUAUAAAUACUCUCAUGCUACCUUUAUUUGCUUUAGUAUAUGUCUAGGUUUGGAGUAGUUUCUUUUAUCUCAUAAUUAAGCCUGGUGCUUAGUUUAGGGCUGAUGAUCUUACUUCCAAGGGAGUUUAAAUUAAGCAUGAUGCUUAGGUGAAAAUACCCUCCUAAAUCAAAUUAGACAUGGUGUCUAGGUUGAUCUUUGAGCCGAUAGUAUGCUAUAGUAGAUAUUGGAUAUUUUGUUGGACUAACCCCUACAGGAAAACUUUGAAUAUCGACCUGGGAAGUCCUGAGAUAAACUCACAUUGGAGACAAAGAGAGAGACGCAUGAAGGUUAACAAUUUACACAAGGAAGGCAUAGCUCACAAGAGAUGAUCCAUGGAGGGUGCCACAAACACGAUGCACAACCGAUAAGAAAGGAAAGCUUCCACAAGGUGAUACAGUAUCAUCACUCUUCAUGUAAGGUAACAUCUUAAGGUAAUUGACUAUGACUUUUUAUAAGCUUCUCCUUGGUUCUGGCAUUCACAUGGAUAAAAGAGACAAAAAUGUAUGAUUUACAACUCUAGAUUAACCAACCCAAUUAAGUCAGCAUGUUUAGUCCUUUAAUCUUUGUUUAUAGUACUACGUACGUGAUCCCACACUCCUAAUCAUAUAAGCUAAAAUGUUGCACAUUCAAUCUCUGGAAGAUAUAAACAAAACUUAAGUAUAGAUAGAUUAUCUUUCCAUUAGGUUGAGUGAUCUAAUGUGACAAAUGUUUUAAAUGCUACACUCAUGAUCUUAUUAUCUAUCAACUUUGUCUUGCUCACUAUGCUUAAGGUUAGAGAAGAACAAAUACACUUUUGGUUCUGUUGGUGUUUUCCACCAACAGGGCCCAUGCACUUGAUCUCUGCCUUGUCUCUAUGAGCAGGUACACUUCGAGCAAUAUAUGAAGGACUUUUACAACUCUGAGACUCCACCAAGUGAAGAACCUAGAUCUACAAGCUCAAACACACUGGAGAUACGGGACACUCAGGCAAUCACUGCCCCGAGAUGCUUAAGUACGUAACGUCUGGAGUAACCCUGUUGUGGGAGUAAUUACUGACCCUCUGCCAGUCAAGAGAGGCGAUCCAGGACGCCCCGUCAUCCCGAUCUCCAUCGGCAUGGUGGACUUCCCAGAAGCACUCUGCGACUUUGGCUCCAGCGUCAACAUUAUGCCCAGGGGAAUAUUGAAGAACCUCUACGUCCGAGUUGGUACCUUGUACGCCCCAGCAGACUUCGUGGUGAUAGAGACUGGUACUGAUGAGAGGGCACCCAUCCUAGGGAGGCCAUUCCUGAAAUACCUCAGGAGAUGUCAUCUACGCUAGUGCUGCCAAGAUCUGUUUCUACAUCAAGGGGAGGAAGGAGAUGUUCUCCUUCAAGAAUAAGACUACACAAAUCUCAAAGCAAUCCCGACAUGAACCAAGGAAGAGGACCAACAGGAGGAACAGAAACAAGCAAAUGUGGACCGAGUAAGCUAAGAUGGUCACUGCAGUUCAAGGAGGUCAAGAUCGUUGACUUAAGUCACCGUUCCUGACCAGAAAGGACGACCGAGUCACCUAUCAGCUCCUAUUCGGAACCAUGCCCCUAAAACCGACAUACAUUCAGUUCCAGAUGGCAGAUCAGACAUUCUGAAAGGUUGAAGGAGAAGACGAGUACGAUCCACCCAUCAUCCUUAUGAGUCCUUUCCUCAGCAUCGUUAAAGCAAUCAUCUACAUUGGAACCGGAGAAGUCCACAUACACUUCCCCUCUGAGAAGGUACGCCGCUAUUUUACUGACCCUAACUAUAUAGUUGAAGACUCUAAGCAGGUUAGGAUAAGAAGAAGACGACGCAACCACAACCAGAGGAGGCAAAUCAUCAAGGACAGAUGGGCAGACUACGAAGGAGAAGUGAUAAGGUCUGAAGACAUACAGCUUGAACAGAACUGUCCUAAGGAGACCGUAGCACCGAGUUAGGUGUGGAGAGAGAAGAUAGUUAUACACGAAGAGGAGGCGCCGCCAGAACCACUGACUACGCCAUCCAGCGAAUCCCACGACGACUGAGGAAACGGAGAGUCCCGUUCGGAGGACUUAAAAACACCGAAUGCCUUGCCAAGAGGUAAACUUGGUAGUUAUCCUUUUUCCUUUCAAUUAUUUUAAAAUAGUUUGCUUAGUUAAUCAGGUUCAUAUCAUCUUGAAAAGAAAAUAAAAAUGUUAAAAAUAGUAAGCCCCAUGUGAGUAUGCUCAUGGCAUAAAACCCAUAAGUACAUUCACUGUGGUGGCAUAAAAAUGAAAUAAAUAUAUUUAUGUGCUAUAAAAAUGAAAAUAUAAAAAUAAAAUUAUGAUCCUAUUAAACAGAGUAACAUUUAUUGAGGAGGCUCAACAUGAUAAAGGCUAUAUAUUUAUGCUAACACUUAACCAGUUCCACAAAGCUUUGUUGUCUAUUUGAGCUCCACUGAAUUCAAGGAUCAAAGAAGACUAGCAGACGGAGGACAUCCUAAUCGCUGUCAGGGUGCUGCCGACAUUCAAAUACACCUCCGCCACCUGCUAGCUACAUCAGAAGAAAUUACGUCAAAAUUCAGCUUGGGGGAGAGCACCCCAUUUAUCCAGCUAAGUGUUCUACUCAUGUUUAUACUUUACUCAAAUAAUAAAAAGAUGCAUAAUCAUAAAAACCCAAAUAAAGAUUUUGUGCUUAUAUAUAUAUAUAUAUAUCUUUGCUUAGUUUCCUAAAUAAAUAAAUAAAUAAAGUUUGCUAUGAACCAUCAUGAUAAGCUCUCACAUGGAAAUGAUGAAUAGUUGCUCUACCAUGACUAGUUCUUAAAAUUGAAAUCUUUCUCAAGUUUAGGCAUGACUGGUAUUAAUUAACAUUUGCUCUAAACCUAAACUUGUGGGGAGAGUACUUGAUCUAAAGUCUAAGUCGUUAACGGAUACGAUAUGGUAAUGUUGAGCUGUUGUUUAUCUGUUCCUAGAGAUGCUAGAAUUCUGGAGAACUUUAUCUUUGAAAAUUUUUAAAAUGUUGCAUGAUGAGUUCCUGUAUGAUGAGAGUUCAAAUUCCUACCACAGCCAUAUAUACAUGCUUGCUAGACUUUGAGCCACACAUUUUUUUACUGCUUAUGAGCAUUGAGUGUGGUCAAACUGUGUAGACCCUUAGGAGCUUGUCAUGUGGUUAAGUCAAGAUUCACUUGCACGUUCACUCACACAUGCUGCUUCUACUCCGGAAGUACGCAUCCACAUAUAUCCACCCAUUUCCAUCUCUAGAACCACCCAAAAAUAUUCUACUCCUAAUCCGGGAGAGAAUAGCCAAAAACAUUCUCCUAUUCCUGUUUUUCCCUGUGAAAUAAAUGCUCAAGAUAUUUUGGUUACUACCACUUGCUACAUUAUUCUAGGAGGAUGAGUGCUCUGAAAAAAAAGUGAAUAUGAGGAAAUAAAAAGGGGCAAGUGCCCGGAACCUCGAAGAAAAGAAAAAGUGAGACGAGAGGUAAAAAUGGACAAGUGUCCGACAGUAGAAUUAGGGGUACAAGAUACCCACCUGAGAGAAAAGAAAAAAAAGAAAAUAUGGAGCAUCUCAUUCCCCUCAAAAAGCUUCAAAGUGCAAGAAAGGUAUGUAUCCCCUCAAAAGAGCAAACGUAGAAUUAGACUUUCAACAUUGUUAUCACCAUCAUCACCAUUGUUAUCACCAUUCAUUCGCCACACAUGCACAUCUUGAUUUGACUUAUUGACUUGAUCUUCUGGAUCCAUGGUUUGACUAUGCAAUAAAUGUCUUGUAAGUAUGUAUUAGCUGUCUCCCACCUAUGAGCUCCAGAUAUCAAAACCUUAUUAGGGUAGGGUGAGAGAGAAGCCAAUACCACUAUGCCUCAUACUAAAAAUACGACAUACUUUGAGAGUAGGCAUACACCAUUAUUGCCUUGGUAAGGAUCCAGAAAUACCACAAAAGAGAGACUAGAGAGAGUCAUACAAGGAAUCUCUGAGUUUUAUUUCAAAAUCUGCAAAAACUCCAGAGCUAUAGUUGAUCAAGAACAAGAGACAUGGCGCUUGACUAGACCGUUCUAUCUUUUAACUACUCAAGACAUAGGUGACGGUUGCCAGCCCCAUGGUGAAAGGUAAAAUGAGUAAGUUUUAAAUCUUAACAGUUUAUCCUAACUCAG